Molecule: RNA transcript, 56543 nt
Organism: Pan troglodytes (chimpanzee)
Lineage: Eukaryota; Metazoa; Chordata; Mammalia; Primates; Hominidae
Gene name: putative WAS protein family homolog 3
Exons: 15
Source: RefSeq, a predicted model, not a curated record
CCCCUGCGAUGGGGGUCCUAAGAGAAAUGGAGGGAAGAGGGGCUGGCUCUCAGUCCCCGCCUCGCGGGGGGUGCCUCCCCCCCUGCGAUGGGAGUCCUAAGAGAAAUGGAGGGAAGAGGGGCUGGCUCUCAGUCCCCGCCGCGCGGGGGGUGCCUCCCACCCUCGCGAUGCGGAUCCUAAGAGCCAGGGGGGGAACAGGGGCUGGCUCAGUCCCCGCCUCGCGGGGGGUGGCUCACUCCGCUGAGAUGGGCAUCCUAAGAGCCAGGGGAGGAAGAGGGGGAGAGGAUGAUAAUUUCAGCAUCGCAGGCUGUGUUCACCCAGCCUGUUAAAUUGUUAUUAGUAUCCUGAAAGGGAGAGGAUGAUAUUACUCCCCAUAACAGACAGAUAUGACUCCCCAUCGUAGAGCACGAGGUCUACACCCGCCCUGUGAUUUUCUUCCUCAUAUUCAGAGACCGAGAGGUUGAUGUCACUCCCAAUAUCGGAGGAAGUAUACACCCCCAUGUGAGAUGUUCCUUAAUGAUAUUCCACGGCGGAGGGGGUGAUAUGACUACAUACAUGGCAGAAAGUGGAAACCCCCCAGGGAUAUUAUUCCCACGAUCCUGGAGGGAAGAAGAUGAUGUUACUUUCAAUAUGACAGAAGGUGGAUGAAGUGGUGGACUGCCCCUCCACACCUGUGGACACGCCCCCACUGAUAUUCCUUCUAAUUGCAACGUGGGAGAGGAGGAUAUGACACGCGAUAUCGCAGGGAGCAGAAACACCCCUGUGAUACUGUUCUUCAUAUUCAGGGAGGAAGAGGAUGAUAUUACUCCCAAUACAGACGGGUGUACACCCUCUGUACACCGAGGGUGUACACCCGUCUGUGAAAGAGUUCGUAAUCUCCAGAGGGGGAGAUGAUAUUACUCACAAUAUGGUAAAGAGGCUGUGAGUCCACGGAGGAUCCUCAGAGCCAGCGGGGGAAGAGGGGCUGGCUCUGAGACCCCGCCUCGCUGGGGGAGCCUCCCCCCACUGCGAUGGGGGUCCUAAGAGACAGUGGGGGAAGAGGGGCUGGCUCUGAGACCCCGCCUCGCUGGGGGUGCCUCCCCCCCCUGCGAUGGGGGUCCUAAAGGCCAGUGGGGGAAGAGGGGCUGGCUCUGAGACCCCGCCUCGCUGGGGGUGCCUCCCCCCCCUCCGAUGGGAGUCCUAAGGGCCAGUGGGGGAAGAGGGGCUGGCUCUGAGACCCCGCCUCGCUGGGGGUGCCUCCCCCCACUGCGAUGGGGGUCCUAAGAGACAGUGGGGGAAGAGGGGCUGGCUCUGAGACCCCGCCUCACGGGGGGUGCCUCGCUCCCCUACGAUGGGAGUCCUAAGGGCCAGUGGGGGAAGAGGGGCUGGCUCUGAGAACCCGCCUCACGGGGGGUGCCUCCCCCCCCUGCGAUGGGGUUCCUAAGGGCCAGUGGGGGAAGAGGGGCUGGCUCUCUGUACCCGCCUCGCGGGGGGUGCCUCCCCCCCCCCCCCCGUGAUGGGGGUCCUAAGAGCCAGGAGCAGAAGAGGGGCUGGCUCUCUGUACCCCCCUCGCGGGGGGUGCCUCCCCCCCCGUGAUGGGGGUCCUAAGAGGCAGAAGGCUUAGAGGGGCUGGCUCUCAGUCCCCGCCUCGUGGGGGGUGCCUCCUCCCCCUGCGACGGGGGUCCUAAAGGCCAGUGGGGGAAGAGGGGCUGGCUCUGAGACCCCGCCUCACUGGGGGUGCCUCCCCUCACUGCGAUGGGGGUCCUAAGGGCCAGUGGGGGAAGAGGGGCUGGCUCUGAGACCCCGCCUCGCUGGGGGUGCCUCCUCCCCCUGCGAUGGGGGUCCUAAGAGCCGGGGGGGAAGAGGGGCUGGCUCUCAGUCCCCGCCUCGCGGGGAGUGCCUCCCCUUCCUGCGAUGGGGGUCCUAAGAGCCAGGAGGGGAAGAGGGGCUGGCUUUCAGUCACCACAGCUUGCGGGGCCUUUAUGUUCUGGUUUUACCCAAGAGUCAGCUGAUUUGCUUCUUGUACUAGCAGGGCAGUUGCUGCCAAGGCCCUCAAACAGGGGGGCCAUCCUUUAGAAACCCUGUCUAGCUGUUUAGAGAGGUAGGCCACCGGCCUCAGCCAGGGCCCCACAGUUUGGGUUUAAAGUCCAGCUGCCAUCUUUUCUCUGACGCAUACAGUGGAAAAGGCUUUGUGAGAUCCGCUAGCCCCUGGGCUGGGGCUUUCAGAAGUUUUUCCUUUAAGUCAUGAAAGACUUGCUGUUGUUGGAAUCCCCAUUCCAAAUGUUCCCGGUCCCCGCCCCCUUUGUGACGUCAUACAAAGGCGUGGCUAAUACUGCAAAGUUGGGCUCCCCAGUCUACAAAACCACACAGCUCCUAGGAAUUCUCUCACCAGCCUUCUGCCCUUAGGCUCCGGAAGAUUGGAAAUGACCUGCUUUCUUUCGGAUCCCGGGCUGCUUUCGGACACCUGUCGAAUAGUAAAUCCCAAGUAAGCUACCUGCGGUCGUCGGCAGAUCUGAGUUUUCUUCUUGGACACCUAAUACCCACAGCCCUCCAGGUCGGUCCUAAGGAUCUUAGAAUCCUCGAUGGGGGUCAUAAGCCAGGUGGGGAAGAGAGACUGGCUCUCAGUCCCCGCCUCGCGGGGUGUGCCUCCCCCGUGUGAUGGGGAUCCUCAGUUGGGCGAGGAAGAAGGGCUGGCUCUCAGUCACCGCCUCGCGGGGGGUGCCUCCCCUCCCUGCGAUUGGGGUCCUAAGAGCCAGGGGGGAAAGAGUGGCUGGCUCACAGUCCCCGCCUCGCGGGGGGUGCCUCCCCCCCUGCGAUGGGGGUCCCGAGAGCCAGGGGGGGAAGAGCGGCUGGCUCUAAGUCCGCGCCUCGCCAGGGGUGCAUCCCCCCACUGCGAUGGGGGUCCUAAGAGCCAGGGGAGGAAGAAGGGCUGACUCUCAGUCCCCGGCUCGCGGGGGUGCCUUGCUACCCUGCGAUGGGGGUCCUAAGAGCCAGGCAGGGAAGAGGGGUUGGCUCCCAGUCCCCGCCGCGCGGGGGGUGACUCCCCUCCCUGCAAUGGGGGUCCUAGGAGCCAGGGGGGAAAGAGCGGCUGGCUCUCAGUCCCCGCCUCGCGGGGGUGCCUCCCCCCCCUGCGAUGGGGGUCCUAAGAGAAAUGGAGGGAAGAGGGGCUGGCUCUCAGUCCCCGCGGCGCGGGGGGUGCCUCCCCCCCUGCGAUGGGGGUCCUAAGAGAAAUGGAGGGAAGAGGGGCUGGCUCUCAGUCCCCGCCUCGCGGGGGGUGCCUCCCCCCCUGCGAUGGGAGUCCUAAGAGAAAUGGAGGGAAGAGGGGCUGGCUCUCAGUCCCCGCCUCGCGGGGGGUGCCUCCCCCCCUGCGAUGGGAGUCCUAAGAGAAAUGGAGGGAAGAGGGGCUGGCUCUCAGUCCCCGCCGCGCGGGGGGUGCCUCCCCCCCUCGCGAUGCGGAUCCUAAGAGCCAGGGGGGGAAAAGGGGCUGGCUCAGUCCCCGCCUCGCGGGGGGUGGCUCACUCCGCUGAGAUGGGCAUCCUAAGAGCCAGGGGAGGAAGAGGGGGAGAGGAUGAUAAUUUCAGCAUCGCAGGCUGUGAUCACCCAGCCUGUUAAACUGUUAUUAGUAUCCUGAAAGGGAGAGGAUGAUAUUACUCCCCAUAACAGACAGAUAUGACUCCCCAUCGUAGAGCACGAGGUCUACACCCGCCCUGUGAUUUUCUUCCUCAUAUUCAGAGACCGAGAGGUUGAUGUCACUCCCAAUAUCGGAGGAAGUAUACACCCCCAUGUGAGAUGUUCCUUAAUGAUAUUCCACGGCGGAGGGGGUGAUAUGACUACAUACAUGGCAGAAAGUGGAAACCCCCCAGGGAUAUUAUUCCCACGAUCCUGGAGGGAAGAAGAUGAUGUUACUUUCAAUAUGACAGAAGGUGGAUGAAGUGGUGGACUGCCCCUCCACACCUGUGGACACGCCCCCACUGAUAUUCCUUCUAAUUGCAACGUGGGAGAGGAGGAUAUGACACGCGAUAUCGCAGGGAGCAGAAACACCCCUGUGAUACUGUUCUUCAUAUUCAGGGAGGAAGAGGAUGAUAUUACUCCCAAUACAGACGGGUGUACACCCUCUGUACACCGAGGGUGUACACCCGUCUGUGAAAGAGUUCGUAAUCUCCAGAGGGGGAGAUGAUAUUACUCACAAUAUGGUAAAGAGGCUGUGAGUCCACGGAGGAUCCUCAGAGCCAGCGGGGGAAGAGGGGCUGGCUCUGAGACCCCGCCUCGCUGGGGGAGCCUCCCCCCACUGCGAUGGGGGUCCUAAGAGACAGUGGGGGAAGAGGGGCUGGCUCUGAGACCCCGCCUCGCUGGGGGUGCCUCCCCCCCCUGCGAUGGGGGUCCUAAAGGCCAGUGGGGGAAGAGGGGCUGGCUCUGAGACCCCGCCUCGCUGGGGGUGCCUCCCCCCCCUCCGAUGGGAGUCCUAAGGGCCAGUGGGGGAAGAGGGGCUGGCUCUGAGACCCCGCCUCGCUGGGGGUGCCUCCCCCCACUGCGAUGGGGGUCCUAAGAGACAGUGGGGGAAGAGGGGCUGGCUCUGAGACCCCGCCUCGCUGGGGGUGCCUACCCCCCUUGCGAUGGGGGUCCUAAAGGCCAGUGGGGGAAGAGGGGCUGGCUCUGAGACCCCGCCUCGCUGGGGGUGCCUCCCCCCCCUCCGAUGGGAGUCCUAAGGGCCAGUGGGGGAAGAGGGGCUGGCUCUGAGAACCCGCCUCACGGGGGGUGCCUCGCUCCCCUACGAUGGGAGUCCUAAGGGCCAGUGGGGGAAGAGGGGCUGGCUCUGAGACCCCGCCUCGCGGGGGGUGCCUCCCCCCCCUGCGAUGGGGUUCCUAAGGGCCAGUGGGGGAAGAGGGGCUGGCUCUCUGUACCCGCCUCGCGGGGGGUGCCUCCCCCCCCGUGAUGGGGGUCCUAAGAGCCAGGAGCAGAAGAGGGGCUGGCUCUCUGUACCCCCCUCGCGGGGGUGCCUCCCCCCCCGUGAUGGGGGUCCUAAGAGCCAGAAGGCUUAGAGGGGCUGGCUCUCAGUCCCCGCCUCGUGGGGGGUGCCUCCUCCCCCUGCGACGGGGGUCCUAAAGGCCAGUGGGGGAAGAGGGGCUGGCUCUGAGACCCCGCCUCGCUGGGGGUGCCUCCCCUCACUGCGAUGGGGGUCCUAAGGGCCAGUGGGGGAAGAGGGGCUGGCUCUGAGACCCCGCCUCGCUGGGGGUGCCUCCUCCCCCUGCGAUGGGGGUCCUAAGAGCCGGGGGGGAAGAGGGGCUGGCUCUCAGUCACCACAGCUGGCGGGGCCUUUAUGUUCUGGUUUUACCCAAGAGUCAGCUGAUUUGCUUCUUGUACUAGCAGGGCAGUUGCUGCCAAGGCCCUCAAACAGGGGGGCCAUCCUUUAGAAACCCUGUCUAGCUGUUUAGAGAGGUAGGCCACCGGCCUCAGCCAGGGCCCCACAGUUUGGGUUUAAAGUCCAGCUGCCAUCUUUUCUCUGACGCAUACAGUGGAAAAGGCUUUGUGAGAUCCGCUAGCCCCUGGGCUGGGGCUUUCAGAAGUUUUUCCUGUAAGUCAUGAAAGACUUGCUGUUGUUGGAAUCCCCAUUCCAAAUGUUCCCGGUCCCCGCCCCCUUUGUGACGUCAUACAAAGGCGUGGCUAAUACUGCAAAGUUGGGCUCCCCAGUCUACAAAACCACACAGCUCCUAGGAAUUCUCUCACCAGCCUUCUGCCCUUAGGCUCCGGAAGAUUGGAAAUGACCUGCUUUCUUUCGGAUCCCGGGCUGCUUUCGGACACCUGUCGAAUAGUAAAUCCCAAGUAAGCUACCUGCGGUCGUCGGCAGAUCUGAGUUUUCUUCUUGGACACCUAAUACCCACAGCCCUCCAGGUCGGUCCUAAGGAUCUUAGAAUCCUCGAUGGGGGUCAUAAGCCAGGUGGGGAAGAGAGACUGGCUCUCAGUCCCCGCCUCGCGGGGUGUGCCUCCCCCGUGUGAUGGGGAUCCUCAGUUGGGCGAGGAAGAAGGGCUGGCUCUCAGUCACCGCCUCGCGGGGGGUGCCUCCCCUCCCUGCGAUUGGGGUCCUAAGAGCCAGGGGGGAAAGAGCGGCUGGCUCUCAGUCCCCGCCUCGCGGGGGGUGCCUCCCCCCCUGCGAUGGGGGUCCCGAGAGCCAGGGGGGGAAGAGCGGCUGGCUCUAAGUCCGCGCCUCGCCAGGGGUGCAUCCCCCCACUGCGAUGGGGGUCCUAAGAGCCAGGGGAGGAAGAAGGGCUGACUCUCAGUCCCCGGCUCGCGGGGGUGCCUUGCUACCCUGCGAUGGGGGUCCUAAGAGCCAGGCAGGGAAGAGGGGUUGGCUCCCAGUCCCCGCCGCGCGGGGGGUGACUCCCCUCCCUGCAAUGGGGGUCCUAGGAGCCAGGGGGGAAAGAGCGGCUGGCUCUCAGUCCCCGCCUCGCGGGGGGUGCCUCCCCCCCUGCGAUGGGGGUCCUAAGAGAAAUGGAGGGAAGAGGGGCUGGCUCUCAGUCCCCGCGGCGCGGGGGGUGCCUCCCCCCCUGCGAUGGGGGUCCUAAGAGAAAUGGAGGGAAGAGGGGCUGGCUCUCAGUCCCCGCCUCGCGGGGGGUGCCUCCCCCCCUGCGAUGGGAGUCCUAAGAGAAAUGGAGGGAAGAGGGGCUGGCUCUCAGUCCCCGCCGCGCGGGGGGUGCCUCCCACCCUCGCGAUGCGGAUCCUAAGAGCCAGGGGGGGAACAGGGGCUGGCUCAGUCCCCGCCUCGCGGGGGGUGGCUCACUCCGCUGAGAUGGGCAUCCUAAGAGCCAGGGGAGGAAGAGGGGGAGAGGAUGAUAAUUUCAGCAUCGCAGGCUGUGAUCACCCAGCCUGUUAAAUUGUUAUUAGUAUCCUGAAAGGGAGAGGAUGAUAUUACUCCCCAUAACAGACAGAUAUGACUCCCCAUCGUAGAGCACGAGGUCUACACCCGCCCUGUGAUUUUCUUCCUCAUAUUCAGAGACCGAGAGGUUGAUGUCACUCCCAAUAUCGGAGGAAGUAUACACCCCCAUGUGAGAUGUUCCUUAAUGAUAUUCCACGGCGGAGGGGGUGAUAUGACUACAUACAUGGCAGAAAGUGGAAACCCCCCAGGGAUAUUAUUCCCACGAUCCUGGAGGGAAGAAGAUGAUGUUACUUUCAAUAUGACAGAAGGUGGAUGAAGUGGUGGACUGCCCCUCCACACCUGUGGACACGCCCCCACUGAUAUUCCUUCUAAUUGCAACGUGGGAGAGGAGGAUAUGACACGCGAUAUCGCAGGGAGCAGAAACACCACUGUGAUACUGUUCUUCAUAUUCAGGGAGGAAGAGGAUGAUAUUACUCCCAAUACAGACGGGUGUACACCCUCUGUACACCGAGGGUGUACACCCGUCUGUGAAAGAGUUCGUAAUCUCCAGAGGGGGAGAUGAUAUUACUCACAAUAUGGUAAAGAGGCUGUGAGUCCACGGAGGAUCCUCAGAGCCAGCGGGGGAAGAGGGGCUGGCUCUGAGACCCCGCCUCGCUGGGGGAGCCUCCCCCCACUGCGAUGGGGGUCCUAAGAGACAGUGGGGGAAGAGGGGCUGGCUCUGAGACCCCGCCUCGCUGGGGGUGCCUCCCCCCCCUGCGAUGGGGGUCCUAAAGGCCAGUGGGGGAAGAGGGGCUGGCUCUGAGACCCCGCCUCGCUGGGGGUGCCUCCCCCCCCUCCGAUGGGAGUCCUAAGGGCCAGUGGGGGAAGAGGGGCUGGCUCUGAGACCCCGCCUCGCUGGGGGUGCCUCCCCCCACUGCGAUGGGGGUCCUAAGAGACAGUGGGGGAAGAGGGGCUGGCUCUGAGACCCCGCCUCGCUGGGGGUGCCUCCCCCCACUGCGAUGGGGGUCCUAAGAGACAGUGGGGGAAGAGGGGCUGGCUCUGAGAACCCGCCUCACGGGGGGUGCCUCGCUCCCCUACGAUGGGAGUCCUAAGGGCCAGUGGGGGAAGAGGGGCUGGCUCUGAGAACCCGCCUCACGGGGGGUGCCUCCCCCCCCUGCGAUGGGGUUCCUAAGGGCCAGUGGGGGAAGAGGGGCUGGCUCUCUGUACCCGCCUCGCGGGGGGUGCCUCCCCCCCCGUGAUGGGGGUCCUAAGAGCCAGGAGCAGAAGAGGGGCUGGCUCUCUGUACCCCCCUCGCGGGGGGUGCCUCCCCCCCCGUGAUGGGGGUCCUAAGAGCCAGAAGGCUUAGAGGGGCUGGCUCUCAGUCCCCGCCUCGUGGGGGGUGCCUCCUCCCCCUGCGACGGGGGUCCUAAAGGCCAGUGGGGGAAGAGGGGCUGGCUCUGAGACCCCGCCUCGCUGGGGGUGCCUCCCCUCACUGCGAUGGGGGUCCUAAGGGCCAGUGGGGGAAGAGGGGCUGGCUCUGAGACCCCGCCUCACUGGGGGUGCCUCCUCCCCCUGCGAUGGGGGUCCUAAGAGCCGGGGGGGAAGAGGGGCUGGCUCUCAGUCACCACAGCUGGCGGGGCCUUUAUGUUCUGGUUUUACCCAAGAGUCAGCUGAUUUGCUUCUUAUACUAGCAGGGCAGUUGCUGCCAAGGCCCUCAAACAGGGGGGCCAUCCUUUAGAAACCCUGUCUAGCUGUUUAGAGAGGUAGGCCACCGGCCUCAGCCAGGGCCCCACAGUUUGGGUUUAAAGUCCAGCUGCCAUCUUUUCUCUGACGCAUACAGUGGAAAAGGCUUUGUGAGAUCCGCUAGCCCCUGGGCUGGGGCUUUCAGAAGUUUUUCCUGUAAGUCAUGAAAGACUUGCUGUUGUUGGAAUCCCCAUUCCAAAUGUUCCCGGUCCCCGCCCCCUUUGUGACGUCAUACAAAGGCGUGGCUAAUACUGCAAAGUUGGGCUCCCCAGUCUACAAAACCACACAGCUCCUAGGAAUUCUCUCACCAGCCUUCUGCCCUUAGGCUCCGGAAGAUUGGAAAUGACCUGCUUUCUUUCGGAUCCCGGGCUGCUUUCGGACACCUGUCGAAUAGUAAAUCCCAAGUAAGCUACCUGCGGUCGUCGGCAGAUCUGAGUUUUCUUCUUGGACACCUAAUACCCACAGCCCUCCAGAGACCGAGAGGUUGAUGUCACUCCCAAUAUCGGAGGAAGUAUACACCCCCAUGUGAGAUGUUCCUUAAUGAUAUUCCACGGCGGAGGGGGUGAUAUGACUACAUACAUGGCAGAAAGUGGAAACCCCCCAGGGAUAUUAUUCCCACGAUCCUGGAGGGAAGAAGAUGAUGUUACUUUCAAUAUGACAGAAGGUGGAUGAAGUGGUGGACUGCCCCUCCACACCUGUGGACACGCCCCCACUGAUAUUCCUUCUAAUUGCAACGUGGGAGAGGAGGAUAUGACACGCGAUAUCGCAGGGAGCAGAAACACCACUGUGAUACUGUUCUUCAUAUUCAGGGAGGAAGAGGAUGAUAUUACUCCCAAUACAGACGGGUGUACACCCUCUGUACACCGAGGGUGUACACCCGUCUGUGAAAGAGUUCGUAAUCUCCAGAGGGGGAGAUGAUAUUACUCACAAUAUGGUAAAGAGGCUGUGAGUCCACGGAGGAUCCUCAGAGCCAGCGGGGGAAGAGGGGCUGGCUCUGAGACCCCGCCUCGCUGGGGGAGCCUCCCCCCACUGCGAUGGGGGUCCUAAGAGACAGUGGGGGAAGAGGGGCUGGCUCUGAGACCCCGCCUCGCUGGGGGUGCCUCCCCCCCCUGCGAUGGGGGUCCUAAAGGCCAGUGGGGGAAGAGGGGCUGGCUCUGAGACCCCGCCUCGCUGGGGGUGCCUCCCCCCCCUCCGAUGGGAGUCCUAAGGGCCAGUGGGGGAAGAGGGGCUGGCUCUGAGACCCCGCCUCGCUGGGGGUGCCUCCCCCCACUGCGAUGGGGGUCCUAAGAGACAGUGGGGGAAGAGGGGCUGGCUCUGAGACCCCGCCUCGCUGGGGGUGCCUCCCCCCACUGCGAUGGGGGUCCUAAGAGACAGUGGGGGAAGAGGGGCUGGCUCUGAGAACCCGCCUCACGGGGGGUGCCUCGCUCCCCUACGAUGGGAGUCCUAAGGGCCAGUGGGGGAAGAGGGGCUGGCUCUGAGAACCCGCCUCACGGGGGGUGCCUCCCCCCCCUGCGAUGGGGUUCCUAAGGGCCAGUGGGGGAAGAGGGGCUGGCUCUCUGUACCCGCCUCGCGGGGGGUGCCUCCCCCCCCGUGAUGGGGGUCCUAAGAGCCAGGAGCAGAAGAGGGGCUGGCUCUCUGUACCCCCCUCGCGGGGGGUGCCUCCCCCCCCGUGAUGGGGGUCCUAAGAGCCAGAAGGCUUAGAGGGGCUGGCUCUCAGUCCCCGCCUCGUGGGGGGUGCCUCCUCCCCCUGCGACGGGGGUCCUAAAGGCCAGUGGGGGAAGAGGGGCUGGCUCUGAGACCCCGCCUCGCUGGGGGUGCCUCCCCUCACUGCGAUGGGGGUCCUAAGGGCCAGUGGGGGAAGAGGGGCUGGCUCUGAGACCCCGCCUCGCUGGGGGUGCCUCCUCCCCCUGCGAUGGGGGUCCUAAGAGCCGGGGGGGAAGAGGGGCUGGCUCUCAGUCCCCGCCUCGCGGGGAGUGCCUCCCCUUCCUGCGAUGGGGGUCCUAAGAGCCAGGAGGGGAAGAGGGGCUGGCUUUCAGUCACCACAGCUUGCGGGGCCUUUAUGUUCUGGUUUUACCGAAGAGUCAGCUGAUUUGCUUCUUGUACUAGCAGGGCAGUUGCUGCCAAGGCCCUCAAACAGGGGGGCCAUCCUUUAGAAACCCUGUCUAGCUGUUUAGAGAGGUAGGCCACCGGCCUCAGCCAGGGCCCCACAGUUUGGGUUUAAAGUCCAGCUGCCAUCUUUUCUCUGACGCAUACAGUGGAAAAGGCUUUGUGAGAUCCGCUAGCCCCUGGGCUGGGGCUUUCAGAAGUUUUUCCUGUAAGUCAUGAAAGACUUGCUGUUGUUGGAAUCCCCAUUCCAAAUGUUCCCGGUCCCCGCCCCCUUUGUGACGUCAUACAAAGGCGUGGCUAAUACUGCAAAGUUGGGCUCCCCAGUCUACAAAACCACACAGCUCCUAGGAAUUGUCUCACCAGCCUUCUGCCCUUAGGCUCCGGAAGAUUGGAAAUGACCUGCUUUCUUUCGGAUCCCGGGCUGCUUUCGGACACCUGUCGAAUAGUAAAUCCCAAGUAAGCUACCUGCGGUCGUCGGCAGAUCUGAGUUUUCUUCUUGGACACCUAAUACCCACAGCCCUCCAGGUUGAAUGCCUUUGAGAACUUGAUGCAUAAAAUUUGCAUGACUCCUCACUCCUUUCUGGAUCUCUCAUUGGACUCAAGCCAGCAUGGCUCACACCACAAAGGUUAACGGCAGUGCCUCAGAGCUUGAAUUCUAGAGGCAUUCUAACAGGCUUUGAAGACUGAUUUUACCACAUGUCAUAUAUGUGGCCUUGGAAAUGAAAACAUGAUAUGUAACUCCCGUGCCCAGGAAAAAUAUAAGAAUACAGGCCACACAUAACUUGGAGUGAUGAUUUAUUUUAUUCCCAUUGCUGUAGAAUGUUGAUAUCCAUGGAGUAAGUUUGCUCAAUAUUCUGCUUAAGGGUUAAUCUUUCUGAAACUAAGUAGGUAUGAGCUCUGUAAACUGAUAUUCCUGUUAAUGUACAAGUGUUGACAAGACUAGAAGCUUUUCAGUUAUUUAUAUGUAAGCUGUAUUUUGAACCAUAUCUACACAGAUACCAACCAUUAAUCUACAGCAAAAAUUCACAAUUACUAACUGGUUACUUUCUUUUAUGUAUACAUACGCACUAUAUGAAUUUUGUUUUUUGGUAAUAUAGUUAUUUAAGUACAGACAUUUAAUUCUCCCCAGUCAAAAUGCCUCACUGAAUUAUCCAGGAAAUUAUAAAACUGGAAAAAAUAUCUCUUAGUUAAAUAAACCAAGAAAGUAUAAAGGGUAUAUUAGAAACUUUGAGAGUCUGUGCUUUCUCUCUGAUACAGUUUAGAUGUAUGAUCCUGAAGAAAGGCAUCAGAGAUUUUACUUGGGUACAAUUAAUAUCCCAAUAUCCACAAAUCUGAACAAAAUAAUUACACAUAAUAUUUUAAAAAUAUAUUUAAUAACAUAAAUAGCCCUGUAAUGCAAAUAAGAAUUGGAAAUACUUCUAGAUAUUGUUACAAACAAUGAAGAUAUUUGAAUACAAUGAAAAAAAAAAGAUUUACAAAUGUUUCAGAUUUUACUCCUGUUUCUGAUGGUACCUUAACUUCAACAAUAAACCAAUCAACUUAUCUUCAAGUAUUCCUACUUUGAAGAUUAUUGAGUUUUUAAAUUACUAACUAAUUUGGAACAUUUUAGGCUUGCCAACAUUAGAAUCAGGAUUGAAAAUGUGGACUCAUUUAUCUAAUGUUUAGCUUUGAUAAAAGGUGGCAUAAUGCAGAACAAAUUCAAGUUGAGUACAAACAGGCUACUGCAUAGCUAAUGAAACUAUUACCAUGGUGACUGUACAAUCAAGGUGACAUGAGUGUCAUAGCACACUCGAAGCUGGAUGCAGCCUUCCUAUUGAAUUCUCUAGAAACCAAUCAAGUGUUCCAUCUGAUGAACCCCAAAUCUUUCCAGUUCUAAUACACAGCAGUGAUGAGAGAACAUUUUUAUUCUACUCUUCUUAUUAGACUAAUAAGAAUAAAGAUACUUUUCUAAUUGUAAGUAUUCAUUUUGUUGUAUUUUUGUAUAUCAGAGGAAAUUCAUUUUAGGCAAAAAGCUGUACAAAGAACAAUUUUAAAUUAUUUCUCCUUAAAAAUAAAAGAUUAUGAAGAAAAUCAUCAGAAGGGAUCUUCUUUCAAAUCAUGGCCAUUUGGGAACAUCCUAAAAUAAUAAAUGAAUAAAGAAAUUCACUGUGUAGUCGGUUUUCUGUUGGUAGUCUAAGAGUCAUAGUUUAGCAUAAAAUUAAGCUGAUGACUAUAGAAAAAGAAAGGCUGAUUAGCUAGACUGCUAGUCACUUUAUUUAUUUUUUACAACUUUCCAUUAAUAAAGGGACCUCACCUGCAUUUUCCUCUUUUUACUCAAGAAAUUUCCCUAAUGCCUCAAGUACAAGUUGCUGCUCUAAAAUAAUUUUCUUCUUCACAAUGUUAUGUAAAGAUGUUAAUGGCCACAUCUUGGUCAUUGAAUAGGGUCCGAGUAGUAGUUAACAAGGUGACAGAGGGCCUGGAUUAUAUACCACCUAUUUCUUUAACCUUUUUUGGUGACAUUGGAGAUAUUGUUUCAACUCCCUGGGCCUUAAUUUUUGUCAUUUAUAAAAUUAGCAAGAAACAAAUAAGAAAAUUCCCUUCCAGCUCUAAAAUUGAAAACCUUUAUUUUUAUUUAUUUAUUUAUUUAAAUUAAAUUGUCCUUAUCUAAAUGGUAGAAAGAACUCUUACUGAAGGAACUAACCACUAGAUCUUUACAUUUUGUCUCAGGUUUUCUGUUGUUGUUUUACCAGCUUAAAAAUUUCCAACAUGCAAAGUAGAGGUCUCAGGCAAAGUUCUGAUUUCUGUGGAAUGAUAUCCGAGAUUUGAGUUCAUGGAGAUUAGAAGCGUUAAUGGAAAGAGGUUAAUAACAAACUGAAGUCACAUUCGCAGUUUCAGAAACUUAUAGAAAAGGGUGAAAGGGGCCCUGUGUGGUGGCUCAUGCCUGUAAUCCCAGCACUUUGGGAGGCUGAGGCGGGUGGAUCCCCUGAGGUCAGGAGUUCGAAAUCAGCCUGGCCGAUAUGGUGAAACCCUGUCUCUACUAAAAAUAAAAAAUUAGCUGGGCUUGGUGGCAGGCAUCUGUAAUCCCAGCUACUUGGGAGGCUGAGGCAGGAGAAUCGAUUGAACCCAGGGAGCAGAGGUUGCAGUGAGCUGAGAUUGUACCACUGCACUCCAGCCUGAGAGGGAAAAAGAAAAAGAGAGAGAAAGAGAGAAGGAGAGAGAGAGAAAGAAAAGAAAGAAAGAAAAAAAAAGAAAAAAAAGAAAGUAAGAGAAAGAAAGAAAGAGGGUUAAAGGGCUUUAAAGUCUCAGUUUAAGGGACUUUUCUUAAGUAGUGUCCUUAGUACAAACCACCUUAUUUCGGUGGUUGUAGAAUGUCAAUAAAAAGAUUGUGGAUGGAAGGCAUAUUUUGAGUCCCAAUUCAUUGGUCCAGUUAGAAAUACGUGACAUUGUAGAGAUAGACUGUAAAAUUAAUAGAGAUAGACUGUAAAAUUAAUACUCCACACUGUUUUCUAUAAAACCAUUCUUUGAAGAGGAAAACUUGAAAGCUAUAUAUCAAAGAGCUAUGGAAAACAAAGGAAGAAUAUUUGAAAUCCAUUCUCUGUAUAUGUAAAGCCACAAUAUUUCAGAGCCAAAUGUCUAUGGAAAUGGGAUAUGGGCCUGUAGUUUCUAAAUAUGUCAUUUCCGCCUGCACAAUUGAUAUAGUAUGUGUUUUUUUGAGGACAUACUCAGAAUGGUCCUUUCAGUUAGAACGUAAGUUUAUCUGAAUAUAAAAUUUGGAUAAUAAGAAUGCAACUUUUUGAAACUAAUUUGAAUUACAUCUUCCCUUGUUGAGUGACUAGCUGAAGUUUCAUAAUCCAAGGAUUUGGGAAAAAGAAGCCAAGUUGAAUUCUUUUAAAAUAUGGGUCUAUGUAGUUUUUCCUGAAAGAAUUUUGAUGUUUCUUUUGGUACUUUUCUCUCACCCUAUGAAGAUUGUACAGAACUGUUGCAGCAUAUUCAGGCGCUGAAUACCUUACCUCAUUACCCAUGAGUUAAAUUGGAGCUAGGAAGGAUUUCAGAUGAUUUAUAUGCUAAUUAGAAUUCUCUUGAAAAACAAAUAGAAAACAUGGGUUAUGGUGGUGUAAUGAAAUCUUCAAAACAAAGAUCCAGAGCUUUCUUGUGGUAUGCACUAAAUAAGAGAGCUAGUAAAUUGGGGGAUGGAAUGUUUUAGUCAAUAAAAUUGAUGUCAUUUUGUACUUGUAUAAGUCUCAUCUCUUUUUACAAAUAAGAAUCUGCAGUUAAUUUGAGCUUGUCAAUGCAACAGUAUCUGUUGUAGUUCAUUGAUUCCUCUGAUGAUAGUAAAGGAUGGUUUUCAUGGGCAGAGAUUUUAUGUUUUGAAGUUAUAGAAAAACUUCCAAAAAACCCACACUUGUUUAGUUUAGAAAGGGGAAAGCAUGUACAGCUUUUUAAAUAGUCAUAUUUCUAUAAACUCAAAAAUUUAAAUGUGAAACUGUUAUUUAAAGUUAUUUGCAAGCGUAUAAUUGGUUGAAAACAUUUCUCCAGGUCUUACAAAAUUUCGAUAACCUUGAAAUCAUUACAAAAUACAAUACAACUUAGGAAUCUAAUGAUUUUCUGAGUGUAUUGCUGUGAGGGUUAGAAAAUGCAUUCAUUCUAAAUACUGUCUUGUCUGCCUCAAUGAGAAGUUGCAAUAUUGUUUGUUUGUCAAGCAGCUUGAAAAGCUAGACAAUGCUGUUAGGAACGAUAUGGAAAUGAUAGGUAGAGAGAUUAUUUUUACCUGCUGCUUUGUUAUUUGGUAAACUCAUGAUGGUAAUGGUUUUCUUAUCCUUUCAUUCGUAAUGAAUUGGCAUAAUAAGAACUGCAGCCUGCUUAAAAAAAAAAAUCACUGUGUAAUCACAGCAGUGGUAGCAAAUUCAUCUGAGAAACAACAUCCAGUCACUUCUGUGACAGACAUUUAUAAACUUAUUUGAGAAACCAUGAACUCUUUUUAUAUUAGACAAAUGAGCUUUAUAUACUCUUCAUUUAAAAAUUCUUUCACUGCCUUCUGCUACCUGUAUGGAUGUAGUGUUCUAUGAAUGAUUUUGAUGUACUAUUCAAUUGAGCAUUUUAUUUCUCACUAUUUCUACUUCUUUGCACAUUUUUUGUUUUUUUCUCAUAUAAAGUAAGAAUAUUAAGAUUGGAAUUUUAAUAGUUUCAUAUAGAACAAUUAAUGUGACAGCCUCUUAGUUAUUUGGUUUAUGGCUUAGUAGGACAAAGUAUAAAAUUUCAUGAAUGUGAUUAUGAGAGGAGGUAAUUCUGCUUUCCUUUCCAAUUAUUUAUUGACACCAUCUCCAUGCCUUAUAACUGUACUUGUUAGCCAGUUAAGAAGUAAUCAUAGGGUUGGAUUUGUGCAGAACAGAACUAUUUAGGAAUUCUUUUGGCUAAGGUCAAGGAGAGGGAGGGAGAAAGCAAAGGUAGUUUUUUACUUUCAGUAUUACAAUUGUAUUAUAUCAGAAAAAUCCCACCAGAGCAUAUGACAGAGAGGUUUGGGUGCUAGAGGGAAUAGCAGGUUGACUGCUGUGUCAUUUAGAGCAGUAACACAGAUACGAGGCUCAAUAAUGCAGGACAAAGAGAAUUUGAAUACAUAUUUGUUAUGCUAAUAUUAAAUUUCUUAUGUUACAUUAAUCUUUCUUUAGGCCUGAAGUAUAUCUUUUUCCAUGGUGAAAUCAUCCCAAAAUGAUAUUAACAUGAUUAAUAGCUUCUCCAGACCUGGCUAACUCCCUGGGCUUGCACCAAGGUAGGUGUGGAGGUGGGGCUGAGGUAUGAAAAUAUCUCCCCCUCCACCCCCACAUCACAGAGCAAUACUUUCUUAUUUCUAAGAGGAAAAAAUCAGUAAUAUAUUAGCAACAAAAAAAUAUGAAACAUGAGAGUUUAUGGAAACACAUUAAAAAACAAGUAAGAAUCAAGUGAAACUUCAUUUUGUUUGAGGACAGUGUGAAUAAUGUCUUCACUUUCUCUAAUGAGCGAAUUUGUUUUCCAAAACCAUAGAAAUAUAAAUAACUUCUGAUUCAUUUCCUGGCAAGAGCUAACUGUAUUACUGUAGAUUAUUAUUAUUUUUUCUCACUGCUUCUGUUGACACUGAUUACUAUAGAUUAUACCUCUCCAAUUGUAUUACUUCUUUUAGUGGCUCUGGUUGUAAUUUGUAGGACAGGAGAAAGGAUAUUUAGGAAGUGAAAAUUAAGGUCCACGUACUCUUACAGCAGUAUUCUAAAGAACACCCACUCACGUCACCUAUAAAGGGCAGGAAUAUCCUGCUCACACUUCCUAAGCAGAAAGCUUGCAUUUUAUUUUAAAUUACAGUAGUCCCCCUUUAUCCACGGUUUUGCUUUCUGCAGUUUCAGUUAUCCAUGGACCAUCAUGAUCCAAAAAUAUUAAGUGAAAAAUUUUAUAAAUAAACGAUUCAUAAGUUUUAAAUUGUGUACUGAUCGGAGUAGCUUGAUGAAAUCUCAUUUGGGUGCUUCAACACGCUUUGUGCAGUGCAUCCGCACUGUCUAUGCUACCCAUCCGUUAGCCACUAAGAGUCAUCUCAGUUAUCACAUGGACUGUUAUAGUGUUCAAGUAGCCCUUAUUUUACUUAAUGAUAGCCCCAAAGUGCAAGAGUACUAUGUCUAAUGUAUAAAUUAAACUUUAUUAUAGGUAUAUAGUAUAGAAAAAAACACUGUACACAGGAUUCAAUACUAUCUGCAGUUUCAGGCAUCCCACUGGGGAUCUUAGAACACAUCUUCUGCAGAUAAGCCGGGCUCUUGUACUCCUUCACCUUCUUCCUGUUAAUUUAUAGAAAAUGGAAUAGUAGUAUUGAACUGUAUCAAAGGCCAGUGAGCCCAAUCUGACAUGUCCGGAAGGUAUUGCUGGAUCAGGCUGAAGACUGACCAAAGGAAGUCACACAAAGAGAAAGGCAGUAUCAGAGAGCCUUCUCAUCUUCCCAAAUCACCUUUUCCUUAAAGUGAGGGAACAGUUGAUUUGACUCAAGAAAUUCCUGAGAGUCUAGUGUCACUGGGCUUGUGUGGAAUGUGGCUCCUUCCUUUUUCUGUGUUUCUCAAGGAUUGACUAUGCACAGCUGCGCUGGGCUCACCUUUCAGACGAAGUCCUCAUGAGGUAAGGAAAUGAGGUCAGGCCAAGUCACUUCACUGUGCUCUUUGUUCAGCUCCCUUUCCUCUCAUGACAUAUGUUAAUUCAGCUUCCACAGUCACUGUGGUCUCAGGAUUGGCACAGGAAGCAUUUUUAUUAGGGUCCAUGCUGUAUUUUCCAUCUGCUUCAUCAAGGAUCCCUGUGAUGAUGCUGAUGAGUCUCUCUGAAAUUCUUUCUGUUCUUUUUCUACUUCAUUGCACAGAACCCUUGAGGUAAGUAGGAAUGCACCUUGAAAAUGACCAUAACUACAUAUGUUAGCAUAGAAGUGGUAUUGUAAUUGGAGAUAAUUCCUUUACCAGAGAUCAGUUUGCAUUGUUUUACAUACUUGGCUAUGGGUGACUUUUCUGCUGAUGUAAGUGAACUUAUGCUAAAAUGAAUGAAAUAUAGGUUUUUGAAAAUCAGUUCCUUAAUCACACAGAAACACUUUCAGCCUUAGAGCUGUUUAGUGAAUAAUGAAAUUAAGUAGGUAAUAGUGUAAUUAAUUCUAAUAUAGUUAUUUGUUUACUUCCAAGUGCCAAUAUACAACUGACUAUAAUAAAUUGUGGUACCUCUGGGAUGUCAACAAAUAUUAAAGUAGACAAUUCCAAGAAUGUGAAAUAUGUGUUCGAAUAUGCAUAUCUACUUACAACUUGUAUUAAAUUGAUAUAAAGAUAAAUGUUAUAUAAUUCUGGAUUUUUAAGUGGUUUUAAUAUUGUAGAUUUAUAGUGAAAAAGGCUAGGAAUCUCAAGCUGUAAAUACCUCCCAAGUCCGUUCAAUUUGUGCAAGCAUAUAAUGAUUUUAAGAUAUAAUUUGAAAAAUAAGUCAUUCCUAAUAAAUGUUCAAAAGAUUGACUAUAUUUUGACCAAACAUUCUCUAUCUGUUAGCAAUCUAAAAAGCUUGAGUUGUUUUAUAAUUAUUUGUUUGUAUGCCUAGUGGUGUUUAUUUUUUUCUUUUUCAUAGUUAUUAAAUACUAGGUUUCAAUUAAAUUUAUUUAGCUCGGACUGAAUAAAUAUUACAAAUUAAUUAAUGGACUUAUGUGAAAGAACUUUGUCUUAAUUCCCUACCUUGUUUGAGUGAUUUUCUAACUUCUAAUUCUUCUUUAAUUUUAUACACACUUUGCAUUAAUUUUAUUAGUACAGUAUUCUAAGUACAUUAAUCUUCUCUGUCCUAAUUAGAUUGUCAAAAAUGCAUUAGUAUUAGUUCAUUUAUAACACCCAUUUAACAUUUACAUAUCACAAAAACAAAAUCAAAAAAUUAUGGGUACAUGACAAAGCCUAAGGGAUGGGAGAAGUUAGUUAUACAAGACAACUAAGCCAAAAAAAAAAAAAACAUUAAUAGAAUUGAAAGCAAAACUUGUCCUGGAGGCUUUUGACUUCCAGUGCAACAAGGGAUACAUGACUUGCAUUUGACUUGCUCUUAUUAGGUAAUAAAAUGGAAAAUACUGGUUCAAAAGGUAAGAAAGUGUUACUUUGAUAUAGAUUUCUGAAAGGGAUUUAUUGCAUGAGUUUGUUUUUUCUUCUAUAAUUGUAUCCCUCAUAUAUAUUGACCAUUUGCAACAGCAUAGUGAAAUGUUGAAGCACAUUUAUAAAAAGGAUUUCUGAGAUUAGUUAAGGAAACUUGGGAAUUAUGCCUGAUUCCUUCCUGUGCUUCCAUGCUCCACAUCACUUAACCAAAUAGUCUUCCAAAAAUGUCCCAAAUCACCAUUUUACAUCAUCAUCUUUCACAUUUCACAUCUGUGACACCAUCUUUCACAUUUCACAGUGUUGCAUCAUCUUUCAAAUUGUCAUUGUCUAUGUCACAUAUAACAGGCUCCUAAGUGUUUUCUCUCUUCCGUUUGUUCCUCUCCAAGUUAUUCUUCACAUUGCAAUCAGAGUGAGUUAUCUUAAAAUCCAAAUCUGAAAAUUGCUUCCCUUAUACCUCGUUCAUUACUUACUGCGCUUAGCACAAAUUUAAACUUAUUAAGCUAACAUACAAAAGACUUUCUGCCUUUCAAAAAAUAAAUUGUCAAAUAAUGAUCAUAUACAUUUACAGGGUAGAAUGUGAAGUUCUGAUAUAUGUGUGCCUCGUGGAAUUAUCAUAUCAAGAACAUAUUGAUGCUCUGAAAGAUAACCCCAGAAGAGUAUGAGGAGACAUACACAGUCUACACAGGCCUGUAAGCAACAAGAACAACAGAAAACGGGAUACGUGUGCGGAACAUGCAGGGCCUUGUCCCAAGAACCUACGUAGCUAUGAUGGACAAGAUUAAGUAACAAACCACACAAGGGCUGAAAGCUGCUGGAGAAGUGCUCUGGUCACCUGUCCUUAGGCAGUAAUUCUGGAAGAAACUGAAGCCUACCCAGAGGGUAGAUAUUGAGUCAGGAUCUAAACACAGUUGGACUUUACAGCUCUCAGGAUCGUAACACCUAACUUCUUCCAAAAAGUGAAAUGACUUUACUUCUAAUUUCCUCCAUUCAUCCAAUACCAUUUGAAAAUAGUGUCUGAGUGUAUACUAUUUUUCAAGCACUGUUCCUGGGAAUCCAGGUACACAGUAAACUUUAUAGACAAAGUUCCUGAUCUUAGUCCACCGUUCCAGUAGGAAAAGACAUCAACAUCGGGCCAAAUAGAUAAUAAAGAAAUAAAAGUUAAGAAAGUCUUAAGCGUACCAAAAAACAUAAAGCAAUGUCCUGGGAUAGAGGAUGACUGGUGCGUGUUAUGUUUGAUAUAAUAAUCCGGGAAAACGAAGUUACUAUUUGUUAAUGGAUCUGAAGUUUGAGAAGCCAGACAUAAUACAAAGAUCUAGUUGAUGAAUAUUCUAGGCAGGGCGCAGAUAAUUAAAUUUAGUUUAAAUCUUUUCAGUGAGGAGAGGCGAAGAGACUCUACUGAGUACCCAUUUAAAAUCCUACAUGAUUUGUAGGAUUGGAUCUUAGGAAGCACCAAGACUUAGCAGUUUUAUGGGGAGGGGUCGGGGAGUAAGAGAGAGAUUCCAUAGGUCUUGUGAGUUCCCAUUGGGUUAACAUUCAUCUUCUCUUGUACUUGAGAAAUGAGAAGAAAUGUGAAUACUGUAAAUGGAAAAACACUUAGGAAAGUUUUAUACGCAUUUUGCUUCCUUAUAGCUAAGAAGGGUAAUUUGCGUACUUUGUGGCUUGGAUGGUUUCUUUAAGACUCUCGCCAAUAAACAGACUGGUGAACGGAAGCCCCUUUAAGGUAACCUCACAUCCGAGCACAGAAACACAAGGCAGGAGACUCAGGCCUGGCUCUGCCAACCAUUUCUGUCCUGUCCUUGUGUUAUCAAAAAGUGAUAUUUUAUCCAUUCCUUCAUCUUUCCCAAGACUCUGGUAACAUUUUCCCCUUUUCCCUUAUUUCUGAAUUCUCUCUUUCUAUUGUUAACAAAUAAAAUAGCCCUACAUUUCUCUUUUUUAUCUUCAGUUUUUACACAUUAAUAAACAUACUGCAAAACAUAAAAUAGGAAGUGAAUCAUAGACACCACAGAAUAUUUUUUAAAGUAAUUUAGAAAAAGUUUUCUUUAUGAUUUCUAUAGGAAGAUGUCAAUUUGCCAAAUUCCUGAUUCUCUUUGUAUCUGAGUCCUUGAAGACUUCAAACUUACAUGAUUAAUUUAUAUAAACAAAUGUAUCCUUUAAUAUAUGUGAAUAGAAAGAUCAUAGUGAAAUUUUAAUGUUUUUAAUUUGUUCAGUGUAACUCUCACAUUCUUUGUUUUUGGGAAGUAAAUUAGCUUGUCAUCUCUUUGUUCUCUUAUAUAUAUAUUUUUUAUUUUCUUCAGCUUCCCGAGUUUUGCAGUUUUUUUUUUUUUCAAGGAGUAGCUUAGCAGCUAGAGGUGUUGUAAGCAUAAAAACAGAAAAAAACAGAAAUGUUUAUUAUCUGAGUUUUAGGAAACAGAGAAAGGACUUUUCUAAUGAGUCCUUAAAUGUAACAUAAAUCUUGUAUUAAGUCACUUUUAAAAUGGCAAGCUUUUAAGGUUAAAAAUUAUAAAUAAUUAAAGAUGACUGAUGUAUAAUUACAAUUCCAUUACAUACUCUGAAACAUUUUCAUGGAGAAGAUAGAUGGUAUAAAUGACCAACUAAUUAUUUUCUUUUAGAGAAGCAACUCCUAAUUGAAAGGCUACUAGCAAAUGAAAACGAAGAAAUGUACUGUUUUUGAUCAGGUGGUGUUUGGUGGAUGCAUGGGUACACUGCAUCUUACAGAAGAUGUGAAAGGGUGACACAUUUGAAGUGGGGACCAUUUGGAAUUUUGGCUGUCAUGCUGUUUAGGGCACUCUUCAUGAAGCGGCAUCAUUCAUCUGGGGUAAUAACUGAGGUUUCUUGCCUCACACCAAGAAAAUCAAAGAUGUGGACCCACAAGGAGUGACGUUAAGAGUGGAGAUUUAAUAGGUGAGAAAAAGAGAAAAGCUCUCUCUCCUGCAGAGAGAGAGAGAGGCUCCCAAGUGGGUCUUCUGGUUCCCUGGUGAAAUACAUGGGGUUUUAUAGACAAGCUUGAGGAGGUGGUGUCUGAUUAACAUAGGGCCCAAAAGAUUGGUUGGACCCAAUAUGUCAUUUACAUAAUGCAAGAAGAAGCUGGUCACCCCACCCUUAUCUUUUAUUAUGCUGAUGGGUUCUUUCCUUGGCCAGUGGCCAUGUCGGCUUUUUUUUUUUUUUUUUUGAGACGGAGUUGCCCUCUUGUUGCCCAGGCCAGAGUGCAAUGGCACAAUCUGUGAUCAUCGCAACCUCAGCCUCCUGGGUUCAAGCAAUUCUCCUGCCUCAGCCUCCUGAGUAGCUGGGACUACAGGCUGUGUCACCCCGCCUGACUAAUUUUGUGUUUUCAGUAGAGAAGGGUUUUCUCCAUAUUGUUCAGGCUGGUCUCGAACUGCUGACCUCAGGUGAUCCGCCUGCCUCGGCCUCCCAAAGUGCUGGGAUUACAGGCGUGAGCUAUCACACCUGGCUUGUUGCCUGCUUCUUUACUGCACAUGUGGCAGCAAAGAAAAAGAAAGAAGGAGCCUCCAUGUUGAACAUAUCUGACUUCCAGGUAUCCCUUUUCUAUUGGCACAGCUGUUGGCAUUCACCUGUGCCAGCUUCUAGCUUGCUCUUCUAUGUCUGCAGCUUGAUUUUUCAGGCUGCCCUUUGUUAGAAAAGAAAUGAUUUGGGGGCUGCAUUUUAUUAAAAGGGAAACCUUACCGAUGACUCUCUUACCCUCACUAACUGCCUAAUUUUUAGCUCCCGUAUCAAUCAUUCAGUUUCCAAAAUUUGAGGGUGUAGUUAUCCCUAAGUUGUCACCCAAAGCUAAUAAUUUUGAAUUCUGGGAACUGAGGAGAUCAUAGCUGACACACUAGAGUAUUAUAACUUGUAGAUAAAUAAACUCUACAGUAUCUACAGGCUGAAGAAGAGGGAAAGGAGGUGGGAACCACCACAGGGUUCUUUUCCCACCCUUUGUCUAAUUUUCACUUGCUUUUUGGAUCCAGAAUUUGUCUCUCUUCUCUUAACUAAAUAUGGGUAUAUGAAUUCAGCUUCAUGAGAAUUUUUGUUUUAUUGCCCCAAACUUACAUUAUUUGUGUGCUUAUUGGUAUUUUAUUUUAAAUAUCUGAAUGCUGCUUUUGGUCCUCUAAUUAUUCUUUGUAACAAACUACAAACUAUGGCUUUCUGUACCUUGUCUUGACUUCAUGGCUGCAUAAGCUUAGAGAGGAAAUGUUUUUCUAUGAAUAUAUUAAAUUCAAUAAUGUUUACAUUUUCUCUUCUUGUAUUGAUUUCAUUUCUUCCAGUUUGUUUUCACUAUUUGUUCAUUUUGUGCCUUUGUUUUGUAAUAAAGAUAUUCUUGAGCUAUCAGGUGAUCAUAGACUAUCCCUUCAUAUGUAAGAAAGAAGCAUGAAAAAAAUUUGUGAGCAUAAACAGAACUUAUAAAAUGGUGGUUUUUAUCGUAGUGUGAGUGGUAGGGAGCCAGUGGUUUUCACUGCAAAUAUUUUUAGACAUAUUUAUAUUAGUUAUGUAUAUAUUUGGGUAAGGUAGUAAUUUAUCAUAUAGGUAACAUCUCAAGUUCAACUGGGAGUCUUUCUCAUAACUUAGGAUCUUUCAUUUUCUUAGGAUCUCAGCGUGUCUUCAUCUUUCUAAUUUUUCAAAUUCUACACAAAAUUAAAGAAACAAUUAUUGGACCUAUCUUUUACCUUGGCCAAGUCAUGACUUUAGUCUCCUCUUGGAUGUAUUAGAGCAUAUGUCAAAUUCUUAAAAUCUGUUUGUAUCCCUUUGGGAACCCACAACGUUAAUUCUCAUGCUCAGAAGUGGUCCAUUCAAAUCCUAUAAAGUUCUAUAAAUUACAGAAUUAAUAAAUCAAAUAACUAGAAAACAUACUGAGAUGAUUCAAACCACUGAAGAAUGAAUCAGUGACCUGAUUACUAUUGAGAAAUGGAAUAUAAAACUUUUCCUAGGAAGUCACAUAUAUGCACACACACACACUCAUACAUAUACAUAUGUGUAUGCAUAUAUAUACAUAUAUAUUUUUAUAUAAUUUUAAUAUAAUCUAUAAUAUUUUGCACUUAUGGGCAUUUAUGUACAAUCAGUAAGUUUAAUUGCUCAGUAGUCGAGUGGGUCUAUUUUAAGCUUCUAAUUCAUUUACCAAGUAACUGGAGAAAACCAUUAAGAUAAUGAUGUUUUGUUUAUUUAAUCUGAAAAUUUUAAUUCAGUGGCUUUUAUGUGUCAGAUGCUGUUCUAGGAAAAUUACAAACUCCAGUCCUGAAGUUUUGGACCUUAUAUUUCAUUGAGGUAAUGUGUAAAUACAUAUGUAUGUAUACACACACAAAUAGUUGUAUAAUUACAUUUCAGGUAGUGAUAUUUUUAUGAAGAAAACCUGUCUUUGUUCUGGCUUUCUCUACAUUUAUCUUUUCAUAUUUGUCAGAUUUUCCUGAUCUUCAUUGAUUGCACAAUGUUAAUUCUCAACUCUCAUUUUCUUCACCAGGAUUGAUUACUUUUUGUAUUACUGUUUUGAUUUUUCAUUUUUGCCUGUAAUUCUCUGUGAUGUCAACUCUUGGUCAUGUUAAGGAUGUUUGUAUUCCUAAUAUAAUCAGUAAAAUAAUAAAUAGCUGUGAGCUCAAUACUUACGGACUUACUCUUUGCUAUACCUUCUCCAUCAUUUUUGCUUUAAUAUUACAAGCCUAUAUUUACUUUUCAUGUAUUGUUUCCAAGAGCCAAUAUUUUGGAUUCUCUGGCUAUGAAAAAGGCUUGACAAUAAUUUUGAUCAAAAAAUUCUCUAAUGGCUGCAGUGUCACAUGAAAGUUUCCUGUCAUUGGAUACAAACCAGGAAACUGUGAUGCAUCCUGUGAAACCUCAAACUUCUCCCCAGUUUGAAUAUCAAUAGCGUAGUCCUUAGUAGUAAUUUUACAUUCAGCACUUGGGUGAACCACACGCAGACACAGAUACAUUGCUCUUUUAUAAUUCAUACUAAUUUUAUCCAGUAAACAGAUUAAUAGAUUCUCCUGCUUUUUCUCUUUUGGGAAGAAACGUGUGUGUGUGUGUGCGCGCGCGAGUGCACGUGUGUGUAGUGCAUAUAUAUAUAUACAUGCAAGAAACAUAUAUAAUACACAUAUAUAUGACAUUGUUAAAAAUAAUUGAAACAGAAAGAAUUCAUGUAUGGACUCUUGUGUCCUCUGUUUUCUAGCUUUCUGUUUCCCUUUCUAUUGCCACUGUUGACACUUUUCUCAGGUCAUACAUAUAUGUUUAUAAAAACAUAUAUACAUGUUUAUAAAAACGUACAUAUAUGUUUAUAAAACUUAUUCCUCUGUUAUACAAACGAUUGCACUUCAUAUAUUGUUCUGUACCAUAGUAAGAUACUCUAGAGUAAGCUGCAUUAAGGAAUUAAUCCUGGAAUGUCAAUGUCAAACAGUUAUUUCUUGAUUGCAGUUUAUAACCAGCCUGGGUUGACAGCCAGGAGUGAGAGUACCCCAGUGGUCUGCUCUAUUCUGUCACUCAGGGAGCUGGGUUGCCAGUCUCCAACUUUCUUUUUGUCUCCCUCCUCCCCUGCAGAGCAAAAGAGUGGGAGAGGGUGUCAUUCAGGAGCAAUUAAAUGCUUCAGUUAAGUCAAUCAGAAGCAAUUAAGGAGCAUAAGUCUCUUUUGCUCACAACCUUUCGGCUAUAACUGGUCACAUGAUGCUGCUGCAGGAAAAAGGCUGGGUAAUAUGGCCUUCCUGAAAAUCAUAGCCUUCUAUGUGCCCAGAAAAUAAAAUAUAUUAAGCAUGAGUUUAUCAUCCGCAUCUUGCAUUUUUAUUUAAAAACUAGCUAGCUAGCUAUUAUCUAUCAUCUAUAUCAUCUAGCUAUUAUAUAUCAUCUAUUAUCUAUCAUCUAUGUCCACUAUCUAUCUCCUAUCUAUCAUCUAUCAUCUAUCUUUAUUUAUCAAUCUAACAUCUUUUUUCUAUCAUCUAUCUAUCUAUAUCUAUCAUAUCUUUAUCUAUCAUCUAUCUUUUUCUAUCUAUCUAUCUAUCUAUCUAUCUAUCUAUCUAUCUGCCUGACUACCUCCCCCACCUUCUAGAGCUUGUUAUUUGUUAGUAUAUGCAACUCUUAUUUUAAAGCUUAAUAAUGUCACAUUAUAUGAAAAUUCCAAAUUUUACUUAUCUAAUCCUGCACUAGAUUGUCUCUAACUGUUUGCCACUAUAACAAUGCUGCAGUGAAUGUCCUUUGUGAACAAAUACAAGCAUGUUAGUAUGAUACACUUCUGGAAAUGAAAUUUCUGAGUCAAAUUGUAUGGGUAUUUAAAAUUUUGAAAGAUUUAUAUUUAAAAACUACUUAUAUUUCCUUUUUGUGUGUUGUGUACAUCUUCAGAAUAUUUGUCUCUCUUUUUUUAUUUGUAGGAACUGAUUUACAUGUUGUUUUGGUUUAUGACAAUUUAUGCUCAGUUAUUGGAGCAUAGAUAUUAAUAACUAUUGUAUCAUCAUAACAAAGUGCCAAUUCUGUCACACUUCACAAGCAGGCACUCAAUUUGUUUUUUAUUUAGAAUGUGACCCCUGCUUUCAUUUUGUUUGUAUUAGUAUUUUAGUUACUUGUAUUAUUAUUUUGUGGUAUUUUUGUUUAUAUUAUACCCUCCUUUCUAUUCCUGCCUUUGGAACUACUUUAUUUUAUUUACAUGAAAGUAUUGGGUUUUGCUUUGGCAUUCAAUUUAAUUAUAUUUAUCUUUUAGUGGGCAAAUUUAGCCAAUUUACAAUAAUUAUCAAAUUUAGUCUUUCUUUUGGCAUCCGUUUGUGUUGUUUUCACUCUUUAAUAGUUAUAUGAUUUAUUUUAUUUCCUUUGUGUCUUUUUAAUUUAUUUCUUUUAAUAAUUAGGGAGAAUUGUAAUAUUUUUUAGAACUUCCCUUUUAAGCUAAACUUUUUUGCUUAUGUUCAUAUAAUACUUAACUUCCAUAUUUUAAUGUAAUAUUUAUAAAUUUCCUAUCAUGAUCAUUGAUGAAAUUAGUAUAAUUCAUAGUUUCCUUUACCUAAUUUUAUUAAUUAUAUUUCUUAAUAUUUUCUUAAUUAUACUAGAGUUAUUAGUUGCAAAUGAUGCAUUUUUGAUACUUCAGAUAUAAAAUAGAGGAAAUUCAGAAUUCCUACACUAUUGGACACUUUUUUCUGUCUCACUUUCAAUUUUUAUUAGUUUUAUCAAUUUACUGCUUGCCAGGGCAUAGAAAAAAACACUUUUAAAGCUAUUGCUUUGGCAUUUCUUUUUGUCAUAAUAAUUUAUGGAGUUCUUUAUACCCUUUUCUGUGUAUAAUUUCUCUGUAGCUGAAACAAUAGAUUAUAGUUUGAUAAAAGAACAACUUUUUCCAUCAGUUUUCAGUUCACUUUAAAAUAAAAUAACUUUUAUUCCUCUUUACAAAGGAACUUAAUGGCAUUUGAGGUUAAACAGAAUGACCUAAUAGAAAAUAUAUCAGUUAGAACUAUAAGAUUUGUAAUCGAAAGUGUCAUGCUGAGUUCUCAGAAUAUGAUAAGAAUAUUGAUUAGAAUAUAUUCCCAAAAUGAAUUAUCAAAUUUCUAUUUGUUUUAUUGGUAAGAUGUUUACAAAAGGAAUUGAUAUACCUGGUUAAUUUGCUUAGUAACAUAUAAUGCUAAUAUAAUUUAAGACUCUUGCUUAAGAAAUGAAUCCUAUAUUUAUAUAGCUCAAGUGAAGUCAGAAGUUUAGAACUGCAAAUCAUAAAACUAUACAAAGUUUAUUUUAAAUAGUAUGUGAAAGAUCAAAUAGUCAAUCCUUUGAAUUUAACUACAGGGAAACUUAAGGGUACUGUUUAUAGUGGAAUAAUAAAAUUAAUAGCUUAAAUAAAGGCUUAAGAAGGAACUCUUAUUUAUUUGCUUCAUUAAUAGAGCAUUUCAGUGUUAUUUACAUUUUAGAAGUUCUUGAUUAAGAGUGUCACAUCUUUAAAAAUGAAAAGUCACACUUCUAACAUCGGUAGUGGGUACAUCAUCUUUGUGUCAAAGACACUGCAUCUGUAUAUUGUUUUAUAUUUAAAAUUCAUAUAGUAUAUCAAGCAUGUAAAAUAAAUAGAGAAUUUUAUAUUCAACACCCAUGUGCUGAAGUUAAAAUUCAUCUCCAUUUAUUUCAAAUUAUGCAUAUUUUUGGAAUAAAACAUCACGGUUUUGCUCUCUGGGGCCUUUGUGUCUGAUAUUUCAGAUUGUGUGUGCAGUGCUCACAUACCCUGAACUCUAAGGGAAAUCAUGCUCGCGGACGAUGCAGAACACAUCCUUCACAGCCUAAGGCAGCCCUUAUUCCGUCCCUUUAAAUAGUUAGUCAUUAUUCUGUAUUUGGAUUUAUAAUUUCCAGCUAUGCUUGACUGUAUACACAUGCAGACCCUAAUUUAUUAAACAGGAAUUUAUUAAGGGUAUGAAACAGAAGUACCUUAUUUUUCUCCAGAUAUCGUCUUUAACCAUCCUGCAAGAAGAUUAUCUUCUUCCACUCUCAGCCUCUCAAAACUAAAUGUAUUUAACAUAUAUGGAUUUAUUCAGGUUGUUUUUAUUUCUUGACAUUGUUUUACUAACUUGUAUCUUUCUAGAAAAGAGUGAAAUAAAUAUUUUUCUAAUUUAAUGGUGUAACACAAUACAUACUGUCUUUAAUGAUUAACUACUAAAUGAAGUAAUAUAUGUGUCAUGCUUAGAAAAAUGUUUGGAACAUCAUAAGGGCCAUAUAAAACUUAGUUAUUAAUGUUAUUGCAAUGUAAUUUUUAAAAACGAAUGUAUCAACAAUUAGUAAUUAUGUCCAUUUUAUUCCAAAUUAUUUGAUGAUGUUUUCUCUAUUUUUAUUAAAUAACACUUUCAAAAUAUUUUGCUGUUUUGUCUUAUAUUUCCCUUUAUUUUUAAAUUCUUAAAUUCAUAAUAUCCCCAUUUAACUACUCAGUAUCUCUAACCUCCUUCCUAAGAUCUUAGGUAGCUUUAAAUCUGUUCAUAUUUCCUCUCUUAUUCUUAAUUUCUGGCUCCAUUAUUAAAGUUCUAACUUUUGUAAAACGACUAAAGAUAGUCCCUUUUUAAAUUGUUUCAUACAAUCAGUGCUGGUUUAGUUUUAACCAUGGUUUAUAUUUUUCAUACUCCUUUCCUUUAGGGUUAAAUAUCCUUAUUCUUGAAGAAAGUCUUUUCAAGGAAAUAUUAGUGCUAAUAACUUUCGGUCUUCUCAUCAAAACACCUGUAUUUUUUCCUAACUCUUGAAUAGUGUCUUAGCUGCUGUUAGAAUGCCAGAGGAAACCAGGUGUUUCCUCUCAACACCAGAAGACAUUUCUCAAAUGUCUUUUGGCUUCUUUUUUAAGCCAUCGACCAGUCUACUUGUUAGCAUCACUGUCAUUUCUAUGUUGCUAAUGUCUUUUCUCUAAGCUUGUUUCAAAUAGAUUCUCUUGUUUUUGAAGUUCUGUAGUUUAAUACAUGCAUCCACGUGAGAUUUCUUUUUAUCAUGUUAAGGAAAUACUGUGCUUUUUGAAUAUGAAGAUUUAUGUCUUGGAAAAUUUAUGUCAUGGAAAAUUAACCUCUUCAAAUAUUAUCUGAUAUAGUUUGGCUCUGCAUCCCCACCCAAAUUUCAGCUUGAAUUGUAAUAAUUCCCACAUGGCAAGAGUAAGAUCAGGUGGAGAUAAUUGGAUCAUGGGGGCGUUUUUCCCUAAGCUGUUCUUGUAAUAGUGAGUGAGUUCUCACGAGAUGUGAUGGUUUUAUAAGGGGCUUCCCCAUCCUCUCCGCUCUUUCUUUCUCCUGCCACCCUGUGAAGAGAGGCUUUCCGCCAUGAUUUUAAGUUCCUGAGGCCUCCCCAGCCAUGCCGAACGAUACCACAAAAGUUUGGCAAGUAGGAAGGAAUACUACAUUGUGGCCACAUUCUGAAAUGAAUUGCCCUGGGAGAAUACCUGAACAGUUUAACAAAUAGGAGUCCUACCCAUGUUGAAGGCAAAUAAUAGGGUAAAUAUAUGGGACAAAUGUAGGACUUCAGAAAAUUAGAGACAUGUUAGAGUGACUAUUUCAAAACAAUAUUUUGAAUGUAUUUAUUACCUCAAUACCACCUAUGAAAGGAGUUAUCUUUAAUUAAUUUCCCAGUGGAAGAAAUUGGAAGAAAAACAUUAACUUUUUUGAACAUUGACUGUUUAUACAGGGGACAGUAUGUUUAAGUGCAUGGCUGCCUUGGACUUCCAACAUUAGAACUGGGAGGUUGCUUCUAUCUUCUGCCCUUGGAAGGCAUGAUAAAUGGAUUAAGAUCCUCUUUCCCCGCUGAGUUCAGACUUAACUUCAAAAAUCUCAGGAAUUGGCACACCAAAAUGCCAUUGCCUAUCAAUAGAUUAUAGCCAAUCCAAGAGAUGACAACUAUUACCGUCUUUGUGUUAGGGGCAUCCCAAACAAGGCUUCAUUCUCAGUUGUGUAAUUUAAGUUUUAAUAUAGAAUUGACAAAGAACUAUGUAAAUUUUGAGCAGAAUAUUGCUGUAAUAAAUAUAAUGUCAGUUGCCUUCAAUGUUUUUCGAAGCCAUUCCAACCACAGGAAGUCUGCAACAAAAUUUUUUUUAUGACUUCCUCAGUAUUUGAGCACAUUUCAUUCAAUUUUGACCAUCAACUUCAUUUUGCUUUUGAACUCUGAAAAGAACAAAGCCUCAAGUGGAGCAAAGAGGAAGAUAUAGUUUUGUUUAAACAUAGUUUGUUGCUGUUGUUGUUAAACACAUCUCUUUUGUUAAACACAUUUUUGACAAACAGCGAUGAGCCCUAAGAAGAAGAAACUUGAUACUGUGAAAAAUAGAUAUGUUUUUACAUAUCUGGUUCAUUUGCCUGUUGUAAUCCCCUCAAAUAAUUGAUAAAGAAAUAUCUGUGUUUUGAUUAUUUGCCUGGCUGCUUUUUCUGCUUCAGUCCCUUAACCGCAAGUAAAUGUUUAUUUCUUAUAAAAGAUACAGAAUAUGGAUUUUAUAACAGUGUCAACUCCUCAUGCAUAACACAUUACAUGGCCAGUUCCAUAAGGCACUACUAAAUUGCUGAGAAGAGAAAAUUACAUUUGGAUGAGUGUAAACUAAUGUUGAAUGAAAAAUUAUAUCUCCAACUUUUAAUAUAUUGACUAGAGAACAUGUACAACAUGUUUUAAAAAUCUAAAUCCUUUAGCUAUAGUUUCAUCGAAACCUCAAAUCUAUUGUAUUUGUCAUGCUGCUCUGAAGGCUAAUAACUAGCUUUAUUGAAAACACAAUGGCAUGUUUAUAGUCCUGUCACUGAAAUGUUGUCACUGAAAGGCAGCUGAGGGAAUCCCAGACAAGCACCGUCGACAGAGCACACUACCAGCCUUUCCUGUCGAUUCUACAGUCUGUAGAUGAUCUGAGUUAUUUCUCUUCCUAAGCCUUUAUAUGAGUACCACAGCCCUCAGACGGAAGGUAUAAUAUCAGAUUUUUUAAAUAUAGGCUAGUCCAGUAUAGGAUUUGAUGAAGUAGUAGUUUACAAAUAUGAUACAAAUGAGAUUUGAUGAUUUGUGGACCUCAAUCAGUCUCCCCGUCCUGCAGUCUUAUGAGAUGCCUGUGCACUGCUUAUGGCAUUCCAAGUAGUAUUUUUGCAUAUUUUAAAUAAAGUUUAUAAUGUUCAAAGACAUAGCCAUCUGUCAUGCUUAUAUAAUUUGGAUUUCUAUGACUGGUCCUUUAUAAAAUGUGUGCAAUAAUUUAGAAAGCUGGAAAUGUGGAUCGUUCCUUAUCUGGGAUAAAACGAGAUUCAAAACCCUUUCUUCCAACUCAAAAGGUCCGGAACACAUACUGUUUAUCUUGAGACCAUUUAAACUCUUAAUUAAAAUCAGUUUUCCUUAUAAAUUUCCUCCAUAGUCUGCUUCGGAGUUGCAUUAAAUCAACCCUGAAUUUAGAAAAUCUUACAACAGUGGUUUUUCGAUCUAAUGUUUGUCUUAAUGCACAUGCUUUGAGUCCAUGCAAUUUAUAUUUUAGCAUGGUCUUCUGAAGAAUUUUUGAUCAAGUCUGGCCAUGUUAUUGUUCUCAGCUAAUUCAUAUAUACAUUACAAUUAAAUUCAAUAAAAGCAAUUUAAUCAGAAAUUGGAAAUGAGUUUCAACAAAAUCUACAGCAAUCAGUUCUUUUCUGCUGACACUGCUAUGAAAACAGGAUUGUGAGGCACAGAAUGAAUUAGCUGUAUGUAUUAGAAUAUCUUUUCAUAUGAUUUAGAGCAAAAUUUACAAAACCAGCAUUUAAAAGUAAAAGUAAUUUUUUGCUAGAUUUAAUAAUCAGUAAGUCUGGUCUCCUUAAAUAAUUUUGUUCAGUAUUGCAAUAUAUUUUAAAUGCCUCAUAUAUUAUUAAUUUUUAAGUAACACCUUGACAUCUAUCAAUGUGAUGUUUUUUACAUCAGAGAUGUCAAUGUAAUGUUAUCAAUGUGAUGUUAUUUACAUCAGAGAUAAAAAGAGGUAAAAAUCUGUGGAUUUUUUUUAAAUGCAUGGAGCAUUAUUAUAGAGAAAGGUGUACAAGCAAUAAGAUAAAUACAUAAAAAUUUAUAACACAUUAUUGACAAAUGUUGAGAGAUAAAGUCAAAUAGGGAAAUGGUUGUGUGGGCAGGAGAACAGGGGUUGUGAUUCUUCCUGGAGUAGCCUUACUGAAAAGAUUGUUUCAGAAGGAAGCUAAGGAUUAAAAAUGAAUAUAUCUGGGCAGAGCAAGAAUUCUAGGCAGUGGAAACAGCAGCUGCAAAUCCCCUGAGAUGGUUUAUUGUCUCAUAUUUGAAGGAGUAGAAAGGUGGUCAACCUUUCUGACUGGAGGAGAGGAAAUAAGAUAUCAGAGGUCAGGGGCAAAGUUAAGAGGUGAGAUCAGUGAAGCAACAGAGAGGGCUGAUCUUCCUGGGUCUUGAUAGUCACAUAAAGAUGUUGAUAUUCAUUCUGAAAGGUACAAAAGCUACUGGAAAGUUUUGAACUCAAGAGUGAAAUGAUCUCAUAAUUUUAUAGUAUCAGUCUUACUAAGAAAUAAGUUCGAAAGUUAUCACUGUAAUUUAGUGGAGAGAAGAGAGUAUCUUGAAACAGGAUCCUGGGUUUGUAGCCACCUUUGCAAAGAUUACAAUGGUAAGAAAAAUCUAGCAUGGCUGACUCCACUUUGCGUCUAGCCUCACCAGCUGGCUUUCCUUGCUCAUUCCUGGAUGUAGACCAAGCUAACCAAGGAAAGAAUUAAGUUUAGAGUUUAAAUUUGAAGUAAGAAUAAUAGUCCCUCCCUUAAACUAAUGCCCUUUUUGCUUGGGACCAAAACCACCUUUGUAUGACUAAUGAAAGGCCAUGAGAAUAGGAUUAUGGAAGGGGCUUGAGGUCUGCUAAGAUGUAGGUGUGGUGUUUCAGACUUUUGUAUUCUGGCAAUUGACUGACCCAACCUGGACACAUGACUCAUGACUCAACUAGUCCUGUGGUCUCCACCCACAGGCAGACAAUGCACAGUAACUGUUUUCCAUGUUGCUAUGAUUUCAUCUCAACUGAUCAGCAGCACCCAUUUCCUAGCUCUCUGCCCACAAAAUUGUAAUAAAACUCUAGCUUCUGAGUUCACAGGAGAUUGGUUUUAGUAAUAACUCUAGUUCUACUUGGCUAGCUCUGCUUUCAUUAAACUCUUUCUCUACUGCAAUAUCCCAGUCUUACCAAAUUGUUUUAUUUGUGCAGCGAGGAAGAAGAACCCAUUGGGUGAUUACAGUUGGAGGUAAUAAGAAGUGAUUUAUUUCUGGACACACAUUUUUUGCUUUUGUUUAUUGAGGUAAAAUUCACAUAGCAUAAAAUUAAUCAUUCUAAAAUGUGACAUUUAUUGACGUUUAGUACAUCCAUCUCUCUCUAGUUUCAAGACACUUUACACAUUCCAAAAGAAAACCCCAUGCCCUUUAAGCAGUAAUGUCCCAUACCCUCCUCCUCUCCUUCCCCUGGUACCACUAAUCUGCUGUCUGCCUCUCUGAAUUUGCCUAUUCUGGACAUUUCAUAUAAAUGGAAUUACACAGCUAAAAGAAAAAUGUUGCACAAAUUAUAUUCAACAGCAUUUAUUUGAACAAUGAACAAUUCAUGAAUCAGACAGCACUCAGAACUAAGAGAGGUUGAGAGAGCUCCACCCAGCAGCAUGAGCAGCAAGCUCACAAAAACAAACUAAUGAAAUCAUCGGAUUAGCUACAGCUAGGUGUUUGCCUUAUUUGGGCAUGGACUGACUGUGACCCGCUAUUUGUCCUUGGCUGACUUUUGGCUGUUUUUUUUUUUUUUUUUGCAGAAAUGUACAUAUUCCUAAGAUAGAUUUUGGAGUAUUCCUUAGAAACUCAAAAUAUGGGACAGUCUCAGGUCAAUGACUUUCUGCUAAUUUAAUCCAAAUAUAAAAUAUGUGGCCUUUGUGACUGGCUUCCUUUGCUUAGAAUAAUGUUUCUAGGUUCAUCCAUAUUGCAGCAUAUAUCAGUAAUUAAUUCCUUUUAAUAACGGAAUGAUAUUCCAUUGUUUGGAUACAAGACAUUUAUCUUUUCGUCAGUUGAUGGACAAUAUAUUGUUUCUACGUUUUGACUAUUUUGAACAGUGCUCUGGAUACAUUUUAAAAUUGGAGUCAAUAGGAUUGUCUAAUGCACUGGAAACAGAGUAUGAAAGAGAGAGAGAAAUCAAACACCAUGUAUUUUAGCCUGAGCAGUGUAGACCAGCAGUAACCACCACUAGAAAGGAUAAAUCUGUGAGAUUAUAAAUCUUCAACUUGAAAGGGGAGAUUUAAUAGCAGUGACUCAGUUGGGACUUAAAAAUUUCAAGAUGUCAAUUCCAAGUGGAUGUAUCAUAGAGGCAGAUGGAUAUAUGAUUCUGGAGUCCAGGAAAUUGUCAUUAGGUCAUUAGGUGGUACGUGAAGCUAUGAAAAUGUAUUAGAUGCUGCAGGGACUUAGUGUGGAGAGAAAAAAAAAGAAAGAUUUUUGAAGGUUAAUUUCUGAGGCCUCCCAAUAUUUAAAAAUUAGGGAAAUGAAUCAGAAACAAUAAAGGAAACCGACUAUAAAGUGGUCAGAAUAGGUAGACAGAAAACAAGAACAUUAUGGAGUAAGAAUUCAAUAUAGAUGAUGAAAAUAACAUGAUAUGCAAAUUGUUAAAUUCACUGAACAAAAUAUAUUUAUGCUUAUUUUGGCUUUGGUAUCUCUGACACAUUUAAAAAUUACUGAUGAUUUACUGAUACAAUAAUAAAGGAAGAUGCAACUGCUGUAUUUAAAUGAGUACACUGUUUUAAAAUAGAUUUUAUUGUUGAAAUGGAAGCAGCAAGAAAUAGAUUUUACUAGUUUUAAUAUUUAAUUAAAGUUAAUUCUGACAGUCACAUUUCUGUUGUUGAAGCAUCAGGGAGGGCAAAAACUAAUAUGUCAUAUGAAGGAAUGAGUCUUCUGAUCUAGGCAUACUGGAUUCAUUCCAUAAAACAGAGAAAUGAUCCUUGGGUGAAUCAGUUGGAGCCUGACUGUGUUAAUCCAGUGUGAUAAAGUUAGAAUCAACCCAAUUUUGUUCCAGUGUUUUAGAAACAAAGCACUGUAGAGAGGCACCUGGGUUAUUAGUAAGGAAAAUUAUCAUGGACCAGCUUUGAUCUGUACAGUUCCAGUUUUACAUUUUUAAAUCCACCUUGACAACUAAUAGUUCUUCUUUUACUCUCAAAAGCAUCCCAUUUUGGAAGAUACAUGAUUAUACUUAUUCUAAGGAAAUAUAACGGGUGGAUAACAAACACAAAAGGUAGUCUUGAUGCUGUCUCAUUUGCCCAAGGAAAUAGAACCCAUUCCAAAAUAUCAAAUUAUGGAAUGUAACCCACAUUUUUGUGAGCGAAGAAAUAUUUUUGAGAUUUAUUCCUUUCAAGUUUUUCAUAUAAUUGAAAUUUCUUUUUCCAAGGAAGACUAUCACCAGAACUGUGACAUUUACACCACAAAUUUGCCAAUAUUCAAUCGUGAUCGUUAGAAAAGAGAAAUUUUAUAUAACCCAAACUAAGUCAAAGCUGUAUAUAUAUAUAUAUAUAUAUCUUAGUAAUUUCUUACUCUAUCUUAAAUAUCUCAUAUUUAAAACAUAACAUCAGCUACCCCGUCAAACAGAUUUAAUCCCUUUUCUUUUUAUAGACGGAAUUGUUUUUACCAAAUGUUUUAUUUAUUCCUAACGUUUAGUCUAAUAUGUACGCAGAUACGUUUUCUUUAAUUGAGUAACUUUGCAUCUGAUGAUAUUUUCUAAUUCCUGAAGACAUAAUGCCAUCAAUCCACAGUAUACGUUAAUAAACUCCAUCCUGCUAGCGCAUAUGGAGUGUAAAGUGAAGAUGCUCCUUCAGGCACAUGGAAGAGUUCCAUCUCCAUCCAGAGUGUCCACAUAACCACCCAUCCAGAAAUAUGUCCAUCUGGAUGAGAAAUCAAAAAACCACAAAUGACAACCACAGAGUCAGUAGGAGAGAGAAAUGGAUGGGCAAGGAGUAAAAAUGUACCUUACCUCCAGUGUCUAUGAAGAGUUUUUAAAAGAAAAAGAAAGGAAAGCUUUAUUUAGUGACUGUCUGCUAAGGGUCAGACACUGAGAAGCAUUUUCCAGAUGAAGGAGCAAGCUGGAAGACAUAAAAUACCUGCUUACAGAUAGAGGUGGUGAAGCCAUAAUUCCAAAAUCUGCCCAAUAUGACUUCAAAUCUAAAAUUUUUGUCCUGAACUGUGUACUGAUUUGUGGUUAAUUGUAUUUAUAGCUAAUGAAUAUUUGCGAAAUAAUAAAUGGCAAUUUCUAAAACAUUUCCCAGUCAUGUACAACUAUACCUGAAAAGUUUGCAAGUCAGAGUAUUCAGGAUAUGGAAGAAUGAAUACUACACAGCAGUAAUAUUUUUUGGCCAUCAUCCAUGCCCCCAGUAUUGAAGGAAAUAAAAAUUGGUGCUAUAUUCCAAUAUUACUUGUUAUUCAGCAGAACACAAACUAUUGAUUACUUGGAUAUUGAGAGGAUAACGUACCCAAACAAGUGUUGAUGAGGAAAUCUGGUCUCACAAAGAGAUGCCUUCUUACAACUCAUUAGAAAAGCAGACCUAUAAUAUAGAUUUGGAAAGUAUAUGCCUAUUAGGCUCCAUAGAAGCAAUUUAUAUAUUUUUUAUUUAAACUUUUUAAUUGAUACAUAAUAUUUGUACAUAUAUAUGGGGUAUAUGUGAUAUUUUGCUACAAACAUACAAUGUGUAAUGAUCAAACCAGGGUAUUUAGUGUAUCUUUCUCUUUAUCAUUUCUAUCUGUUAGAAACAUUCCAAAUCUUCUUUUCUAGCUACUUUGAAAUAUACAUUUUUGUUAACCAGUCACCCUAGUUUGGUAUUGAACAUUAAAACUUAUUCCUUUUAUCUAAUUCUAUGUUUUUACCUAUUAACCAAUCUCUCUUCCCUCCCCUCCCACUCACCCACACAUCCUUCCAAGCCUCUGAUGUCUGUCAUUCUACUCUCUGCCUCCAUGAGAUUAUCUCUUCUAGCUCCCACAUAGUAGUGAGAACAUCCAAUAUUUGUCUUUCUUUCUGGGUCUGGCUUAUUUCACUUUAACAUAAUGACCUCCAGUUCUAUCCCUGUGUCUGCAAAUGACGUAAUUUCAUUUUUAUGGCUGAAUAGUAUUCCAUUGUGUAUUCAUUUUCUUUACUUAUUUCUUUAUUCAUUUAAUUUUGAAAUGUUUGCCUAGACAAGCCAGAUGAUUGUUGUAGGAAUCAUACAAUCCAGCUCUACUCUGCCCUGUUGAGAUUAUCCCUACCAUCUGGGGAUUGUCACAAUACAUGACAAUCAUGGAGAAAUGUUCAUGGAGAAAUGUUUUUGUUUGAAUUUUUAAUUCCAAAUACAACCAGUGCUGGAUGCGACUGUGAGUUACACUUGCAUGCAUACAGUCAGGCUAACAUGUUAUCUAGUUCCAUUACUAGGACUAAUCCAGUGGUUGUUUCUUUCUUUUUCUUUUUUUUUUUUUAUGCUUCAAGUUCAGUGGUUGUUUCUUUGUCCUACCACUCUUACUGAGCAGUUGGAAGACAACUAACUCACAGAAAAUGAACAAAAGUUUCACAAGGAUUGCUCCAAACAAUAAACAGAUUAAAGAUAAUGCUAAUCUUUUAAAAGCAAGCAAAGGAUCAAAUAGUGGAGUUCUCAUUUCACCUCCAUGGAGUAUGAGCUCUCAAUCAAACUAAGACGUAAAAAAAACAAUGACCCAUUAAGUACUCAAAAUAAAAAACUUGAAAAUAUUGAGUAACAUAUAACAUGUCAAAUAAUGACUACUUGAAAUAUUUAUUUACGACUACCUGAUUAAUAUAAACUCAGCUUUACAUGAUGCUUUGAGGUAUUAGCAAGUGAAAUAUGAAAUAAGUAUUCAGAUGAGUUUUAAUUCAGCAUUCAUAAAAUGAAGAUAAACCUCUAUAAUUUUUAAGUUAUAUUUAAAGCCGUUUAAUGCUCAAUUCGUACUUUACAAAAUUUAACUAAACGUAAUGAUAAAAACUAAAAUACCCUUUUGAGAUUUCUUUCUAAAUAACCAAGAAACAGAAUGCCAUUUUGGGAAAUACAUUCUUCCUGUUAAAAUAAUAAUGUAAGAAGCUAUAUGGUGAGAAGCUAGCAUUUUAUCAACAAAUAUAUUGUUGAAGAUUUGAAGAAACUAGUACUGAAACAAAUUACAGUCCACAUUGUUUGUUAUACAGCUGAAACUGCAGCUUAAAUAAUGGCAUUUGGUAGGUUCUGUUUCAAUAACGAAAUACUCGAAGAACUCCUUUUUAUCUCUGCCCCUAAAGCAAAGGUGUUUCGAAGAAAAUUUGAUCUCAAAAGUAAAAACUUGUUAAGUAAAUAAAAACAAUGUUUUAGGCAGAAAACUUGUGUAGGCAAAACAGACAUUGGAAUAGCAGCUUUGAGUAGAAUUCGUGGUGGAGAAGUAGAACCAUAAGUGAAUUUCAUUCAUUGUAUCAAUUGUAAGCUAAAAAUUGAAGCAAAGAAGUAGAAAUCAGAAUGUCUACUGAAUGUCACAACUGUAGUAUGAUAUUUUAUAAUUUAAUCAGCUGGGAAUGAUCCAUACAAAGGUUUUCUUGUGAUUUCCCUGUUAAGUACUUGCAUAGAUUUUAUUGCUACUGAAUAAAACGCAAAUUAUUUUUAUAUAUUGAUUUCAUAUAUAGAGACCUGAUGUUAUAAAAAUGUAUUGGGAGAUGUCAUUAUGUAAUUUUUCCAUAAUCAUACUGUGAAAAUAAUAAAAACUGGUAGUUCCUUUCCAGUUACUACAAACCUGUACUUAUUUUUCUUACCUGACUGAGCUAGCUAGAACAUUUAGUACAGUGUUAAAUAAAAUUGCUUAUAGCAGACAACUUUGUAUUGUCCCUCAUAGUGACGUGCUAGCUUCUUUUUUCCACUAAGUAUUCUGUUUACUGGAGACUUACCAGUUUACAGAAGUUUAAUUCUGUUUAUCGUUAAGAAUUUUUUUUCCUAAAGGAGUGCUUUCCUUAAUCUUCAAGAUGAAAAAAGGCUCUUUCCAAACUUUUUAAUGAAAUAAACUUUUUUUUUCUAACAUUGAAAUCAGUUUCUCAUUUUGAAGAUAGAUUUACUCAUGUUUUAUGCAUACCUGAAUCUAUUUGCUAAUACUUGGUUUAGUAUGUUUGCAUCUGUUUGUGAGGGUGACUGACCUGACGUUUUCCAUGUUUUGUACAGUCUUUGUUAGAUACAGAUAUCAAACUAAAUUUACUAGUCUUGUAAAAUGACUUGGGAGAAUGUUGUUUCCUUAUAUACCCAGGACUGUUUGUUUAAAAUUAAAAUUAUUUGUUCCUUUAAUGUUUGAUAAAGCUCACCUGUAAAAUUGUGUUGGUUUUCUUCCACAUUCAGAAUGAAAUUUUAAAUGACUGCUGAUUUUAUCGAGUUACCACCUUCUAGAGUUUUAUUUUAAAUUACUCUUUUUCUAUUUUUUGUCUGGCAUUUUUAGAUUUUUUUUUCUAUGGAAGAGUCUGUCAGAGUAUAUAGUCUGCCCUACUUCUAGGAAUAGAAGUUCUCUCUCAUCCAUUGUGAUAUCUAUUCUUAUUCAUAUUUUAUAUGGAGAACUCUGCUGUGAGGGGAGGGUAAGGAAAGUUUCCUAUAUGGAAAAAUUUUUUCUCCUUUCUUGUCUUCCUCUUGCAUGAAGACAGAAAAAUAAUAUAUUCAAAGUAAAACCACAACACAUUCAAGGGCCCAGAAGUGAGAGACACAUAGCUUACAUAGAAAACGGAAAUCAACUCACUGUGAAUGGGCCUGGCAGAGGAUAUUAUCAGAUUCAUACCUGAGAUUUAGGAAUGUACAAAUCUAGGGAGUUCUUCAAAGAGAGCUCAGUAGUUUGGAUUUUAUCCUGAUGUAAGGGGGCAAUUAAAUUAUGACAACAGUAAUGAUGGUUAUAUAAACAUAUAGCAUAUUUUGAAUUAUUACCAUUUAUUAUGCUAAGUGCUAUAAGUAGAUUUUUAACCCUCAAAAUACAGCUUUGAAUUAUUUUGAGAAUUUUAACUCAUUUCCCAUUUAGAAAAAAAAAGUGCAGCUUGGGGCCAGUGCUCAUUUAAUUUUACAUAAACAUGUUCUUUGAGACUGAAGCAAAUCUGACUGAUUUUCAGUGUGAAAACAAAAUAUAAACAGUUCUUGUAGUUAUUUCUUAACAGAACUUUUCUCUAAUCUUAAUGUAACAGGAAUGUAUAUGAUGUUACAUUAGGAUUAGAGACAAGCGUAUUCUUGGGGCAAACGGGAAAUAGGUUAAGAAAUAAAAAAUGUUAGUUCACGAUGUAGAUGGUAUGUUCCAGGAACUUGAAGUGUGGCAGACUUCAAUGACAAUCACUAAUUAGAUGUCGUUAAAGUAUAUAAAUGGGAAAUAUUGAUAGUAAUAGUAAUAUUGUGAAGCAAAAGAAGAAAAUAAAUCUUUUUAUAUUGUAACAUUUUCACUGUAUAUUAGCAAUAUUUAGCCCACAUCACAUAUUUAGUUCCUUGGAUAUUAUCUUCCUUUUGUCAGCAAAACUGAAUGUUAAAAAAUGAUAUUAUCUCACACAAAAUGAAGCUAGAAUUUUAUUUUGCCCAAGGGAAUUUACAUUUUAUUUUAAACAAGGAAGACUUAAGAUUUAAUUACUCCAUGCAGCCAUCAUGAUAACAAUUAAACAUACACAUGAGGGAUAUAGUUUCUUCUCACCACUCUGUAAAACAGCAAGAGAGUAUUCAUUUAAUCCAACUAUAGAGAGAGAUAUUUUAAGUUUCUGAUUGAUUUACUGUCAUUCAUGCAUAAACGUUGUUGAACUGAAAAUUUUCUACUUUUCUAGAGGCUACAUAUUAUGUUUAUGUAUUCAUUUUAUUUUAUACAUCAACCAUGUAUUGAUAAUCUGUUAUAUACCUGUUAUAUAGCAGGGGUUAUGGCCUAUAAUUGUGAAUUAUAAAUGGUUCAAGUCUUGAUAAAUUUGUAGCAAAAUGGAAAAAUAUCCACAUUAAAAAUUAUAGAAGUGAGAAUUCCAGGCAGAGAGGGCAGUAUAAAGCUACCAUACAGAAAUUCCCAUUCCAAUACCUAAAGCCUGACAAACAAUAAAAAUAACAUGCCAACAAUUACAAAAAUAACAUAAAAUAGUGAUAUUAAUAAAGAUACACACACAUACACACACUAGUUAACUAAGAACCAUAAAAGUAUUCUGUAGUAGAGUGACAAGAGUCCUAACCCUAUCCCUGUAUCUCAAAAGCAAGAAGACUGAAAAGUCCCAAUAAUUGGCAGUAAUACCCCAAAAUAUAAAACAUAAAACAUAACGACAGUAAAGAAAAGGAACACAGAAUAGAAUAGACAAUGAAAAACUGAGCAUGGAAGAAUGCAGGGAACUAAAGCAAAUGCCUGAUAAAUAUUCUGAGCUAUAUAACAAGUUUAAGAAGCUUGAAUAGAAUGAGACAAGAGCUCAAACACAAAUUAUAAAAUUUUAAAAUGAGAUGUAAAGCUAUCACCAACAUCAGGAAACAUGUACAGUAGCUUUUCAAAACUAAUAAAUUAGAAACAGCAAGAAACGAAUUUGAGAGAACAAAAAACUGAGCCUUGGGUUUAGAAAAAUGCUUGAAAUAAUCAAUAAAAUGGUAAGAAAAUUUAAAUUAUUAGAUAAUUCCAACCAAUAUAAGGGUUUUUCAAGACAAUUCAGCAUAGAAUAAAUAAUGUCUGUGAUUUAAAGAAUUCAGUCAGUGAAAUACAGAUACAACAAAAGACAAUUUGAACUAAAGAGAGUAGAAUCUUCGGAACAAAACAGCACAACAGGUGUGUGUGUGUGUCUGUGUGGGUGCAUGUGUGUGCCAUAUAUAUGCAAAUAUAUAUGUAGAGUUCCAUUCAGAGAGAACUUAAACUACAAAAGAAAAGCAUUAGCCGGACAUUAGUUUUUUCAUAGCAACAUCCAAUGCCAGAAGACAAUAGAUAAAAUUCUGCAAUGUUUUGCAGAAAUGUUACUAGAGAGUAUCAUAACACAAGUGUGCUAGACAGUUCUUACAUUGCUAUAAAGAAAUACCUGAAGUUAGGUAAUUAUAAAGAAAAGGAAUUUAAUUGACUCUAAAUGGUUCUAUAAGCUGUAGAAGCAUUGUUCUGGCAUCUGCUCAGCUUCUAGUGAGGCCUCAGGUAGCUUUUACUCAUGGCAGAAGGUGAAGGAGGAGCAGAUGUCUCAUCCAGUGAGAGGAGGAGCAAUACCAGGGAGGUGCCACACACUUUUAAACAAUCAUAUUUUAUAAGAACUCACUCACUGUCACAAGGGCAGCACCAAGUCAUGAGAGAUCUGCGCCCAGGUCAUGAGAGAUCUGCGCCAAAACACUUGCCACCAGAUCCUACCUCCAACAGUGUGGGUUACCUUUCAACAUGAGAUUUGUUGAGGACAAAUACCCAAACUAUUGGACCAAGUAUUUCAUGGACAGAGCAAUAGUCAGGCCUUCUCAAAUAUGAAAGAACUUAUAUAAUAUGUCACCUGUUAACCACUGGUAAGAAAAACAGAAACAAACUGCCUAUUAAAAUUUAACUGAUAACAAUCCUCAUCAUGACAAUUCAACAUAUAAUGCAAUGCAACCUUAUAAAGAACUCACAAAUGGUGCCUUGGUAUGGGAGUAGUGAUUAUCUGUGACUCCAGUUAAAUGUAGAAUUGCUAUAAGAAACCCUGUUAAACUGGUGACAAUUAUCACUGACUCCCCUUAAAUCUAGAAUUAUAAUAAAGGAUGUUAAACUGGUGGCAGGAAAGAAUAAAAAAGUUACAAUUUUUGCCAUGUCAAAUUAUUGACAAAUUUACAAAAGAAAAAGGAGGUGAUUGAAAUGGAAGGUGACUGGAAAGGAAGUGAGCCUACAAGAGAGCGAAGGUUUUUGUCUAUGGAUCAGGUAAUAUCUACAAUUAAAACAUAUAGUAAGCCUGGGCGCGGUGGCUAAUUCCUGUAAUCUCAGUGCUUUGACAGGCCAAUGUGGGAGCAUGGCUUGAGCCUAGGGGUUUGUGAUUAGCCUGAGCAAUAUAGGUCCCAUCUCUACUAAAAAUUUAAACAAUUAGCCAGGUAUUGUGGUGCAUGCCUGUAGUCCCAGUUACUCAGGAGGCUGAGAUGGGAAGAUUGCCUGAACCCAGGAGUUUGAGGUUAUAGUGAGCUAUGAUCGUGCCACUGCACUCCAGCCUUGAUGACAGAGUGAGACCCUGUCUCUAACAACCAAAAAUAAAUAAAGAAAUAAAACAUAUAGUUUUAAACUGAAGUCUCUUGUCUUAAUUACAAUUCAUUCCUAUCUUCACAAGGAUAUUCUAAGAGAAUAAUAUCUCUUAUAAUAAGGAUAUAAAUGUUUGAUUUUCAGUGGAGUUUCACUGAGAUUUUCACUUCUACUUGAUUUCGUUUUAUUAAAUUUCAACAAAUUAAUUUAAUAUUAUUUAAAUAGCGUAAAGUAUAUAAUCACAGUUUAAAAAUUGCCUUUUUAUGUACUGAUUGAUAAUGUGUCUGAGUCAGGGUCUAGGCCAAAAAACAGACCUCAUUCCACGUAGUCCAAAAGAAGGACUUGAGUUCUGGGGACUAGUUGCACAGGUGCUUGCUGAAGGCAAGCAGGCACUAUUAAGGUCAUUCCUAGAUUAACAACAUCAAUUAGUUGAUGCUAGCUCUAUGCCUGGAGGGUGAGAAGAUAGAAGUGGUGGUACCCCAACCCAGAGCUGUGGUUGCCAGAUUGGGGUGAGGUUACUCAGUCUCCAAGAAAGCUGUAUGGCAGUGACCAGAACCGCAGAUAAAGGGGCUGCCCAGGGUGAGCUGGGGCCAUGGGGAGAUACAGCUGCUUCCAGAAAAGCAGCUCUAAGCAUAAAUGGAAGAGGUGGAUUAACUCUAUGUCUGUGUCCCAGUCUUUAGGGUCCUGUCAUUUUCUCACAGUAGCUAACUUUAGCCAGAACUCAGUGAUAAAGGUUUCCUAAAAUAUGCAGGGAAAGUCAGAGAAUAGAUCUGAGAACUAAUGUGCAAGGGGCUGGUACAUCUUCAAAGAAUGACAUUUGGGUGGAUGGUUACCUUUUGCUUAAAAAGGGUUAUUGUUAAAUGGACUUUUGAACAGUUUUAAGUUUUUCUUAUUUUUUUUUGCAAGUGAGCUAGAGGAAAUUUGCAGAUGUUAAAACUUAAUAUUUGAGCACAGGUUGGUAGAUGAGAAAAAUAUUUUAAAAGGAAUUCUCCAGUGAAAAAAUAAUUAGAAUACUUAGAGAAGAGUAAAUUUUUGAUAUUGCUUUUAUAGGUACAAUAGACUAAUCAGAGAACAUGAUGAGGAAACAUAGCAAGACAAGAUGAAAAGAAUCUUUUCUGCCAAGAAAUUUGAGUUCUUCAUUUUGCACUGGACCAUUGUAAAAGUCAGUAAAUGAGAAAGAAACAUAAUCAGAAAUGUGAUUUAUGUCUAAAUUCUUGACAGCAGCUAAAGAAUAUAGUGGAGGAAACAAUUAUUUCAGAAAAUAUCACCCUAGUCCACGUUAAAGAAUAGAAUAUUACACUGUAUUUAUAUCACACAUAUAAAUUGGUAAUAGUACUGUAAACUUACUAUGAUGUUUGAUAGUGGGUCAACUUAAUUCUGGAAAAGACAUCGUUUCUAGGUAAACACUUCCUCUACUUGAUUUAAUAGAUAUGUCAUUAGAAUAUAGAUGAGUGAAAUAUUUUGGAAAUUUGAUAGCUUGUCAUAAAUGGCAAAAAAUCUCAUGUAUAAAUUGUUAAACGAAUUAACCCUAGGUCUCCUGAAACUGAUUAGCCAAUGAUUCUCUGUUAACUCUCACAAGGUUUAACAAUUCAAUUUUCAAGUUUUGUUUAAUGCCUAGUGUACAUUUCAUAAUAGGCACUGAAGAGGGAAUAUAAAUGAAGUGUAAUAUGUUUACCUAAAUGAGUUUUCAAGUUGAAUGGAAAGCAUAAUAUGCAUUCAAUAUUAGACUCAAUGAUAAUAUCACAUUGCAUAUAAUGAAGGGCAGAUAAUGGUUGGACAGAAGGUAUUGUGAAAGCUCAACAGACCAGUAUGGAAUGGAAUAGUUGCAGAAAACAUCAUGAAGUAAAGAAAUCUUAGGCUCUUCCCAGAUUUCUAUGUUUUUUUUUUUCGUGGUUAUUACUGUUUCAUUAUUUCUAAGUGAUUACAUUAAGUUUUUCUGCAGUCUACUGAUACGGAAUUAUUUAUUAACAAAUAAAAUGUUGGGGUUAGGUUUCCUUUAGCUCACAAAGAGCAGAAAUAAUUAUCAUCAAAAUGUAAUUCAAGUGCCUACAUUUGUUUUUUGAAUUACUCCCUUUCAUCUUUUUACAGUUGAAAUAUAUUCAUCAACACCAUUGAAGCACUAAUAUCCAAAUUUAGUUUUAUUAAAUUCAUUAGCUAGGCAUAGACUUGAAAUAUUUCAAAGCCACUGAAACUAUUAAUCGAUGAAAUACCAUAUUAGUGUCACAUCAGAAAAUAAUUUGUUUCUCAAACAAACCUUUAACAUUACAGAUGGCAUAUUCGUUUAUCAGUGGAUGUGGAGAAAGAUUAUUUUUAGAAAGAGUAAAGUAUGAGUCAAUUAUACAAUAAAAUGCCUGACCAUUCUGAUUUGAAGUAUUAAAAAAAUAGGAUUCAGUAGGUUGGUUUGCCAUAAAAUGUAAUGAUAUGUUGAGUUAUAAUGUAAGAACUGUAAAUCUUGAUAUGUAGAAAACAAACAAAUGAAAAAAACCGUUUAUCUGUUCCUAGUUUUACCAGAGUGGUUGAUGAAUACUAUGCAUGUUUUUCUUUCCUAUGGUCAGUCAUAUUUUGGAGGACAUCUGAUUUUUCAUCUACUAGCUAAAAUUUCCUUGGUGGGGCGGGGGCGGGGGGCAGUGGUUGUUCCACCUCCACAACCACCUGUGAGGUUAAGUUGGAGUUUGCCAUUAACAAACUCUGCCACACUACCCCAAAGUUGGGCAUAUGCCACAGGCCUGGUCCCAUUCCAUGACCAAACUUAUCUAACAGAGAAAGACCUGUGUUUUAUGUGAUGUAAGUGUCAGAGCUUAGAGCUGCUGAAGGCCUUGUUUUCUUCAUGCAGUGGAAUCUGAGAGAAGGUAGCCAACAAUUUUCCCUGACUGCUAAAACUUCCUGAUGGAUAUUAUAUUAAGAAAGAAUCACCAGAUUUGUGCAUUUAUAUUUCUACAUGCAAUUGUAGUAUCCUUCCACGAAUCCCCCCUUUUACUUAAACUAGGCUGGGCUGUUUCUUUAGAAGUUGAAACCUACAAGUAUUACCUAUUACAUAUCUGCCAUGACAGUCAGGAUGUGAAAAAAAUGACACAUCCACAAUAUAUUAUUCCAAAUCCUUGGGGCCGGAUAUGGUUCAGAAUUUGAGUAUUUCAUGUAAAAGAACAGAAAUGUCAGGGUAGCACUCUGGAGUCAAACCUAUUAAGAUUUUUGUAGUAACAUGAAUCAAUAGUCACAACACUAAAUGGGGUUAAAAGGAGUAAUAAAUGUCCUAUUGUCAGUUCAGGUCAGUUUUGUAUUCAAUUGAGCUUUGACACCAAACCUAGGAGAAUACUUGUUGUUUUUUCAGGAUUCCUUGGAUUUUGGAAUUGCAGAAAAUGAGUGGGAGCUGUGCUUUAAGCUAUUAUUGAAAAAUAAAUCCUCUCCUAAUCUUAAAGAUACAAUUUACAGAACCCUGUUGGGUGAAAAUUUGUUGUAACUGUCUCAUACAUUGCUUCCAGCCACUCCUUCCCCCUACCCAGAAGCUGCUCCCUAGAGAGGCAAUAUGGCAUACAGGGCAGAAAGAUUGGCUGACAGAAUCAGGCAAAUCUGUAUCUAGAUUCUGAAGUGGCUAAACGUGUCCUUUUAUUUUGAGGAUGAAAUGUAAGCAGCAAUAAGAUCUAUCCAAUAUAAAAUAUCCUUCUGAAAGCUAACAACAAACCCUGUACUAUUUUAGACAGUAGAGUUUAUCUGUUCAUUCUCUAUCACAAAAAAAAUCAUGAGCCCAUAAUAAUUUUCUUUGGGAAGAUGUUUGGUUUGAUAGUAACAAGAUUUAAAAAUUGAUGUAUCUAUUCAUUUUGUGCUUUUCCUUUUUUUUCAAGAAAGUUUCGAGUAGAUCAGAAAUUUACAUUUCAAUUAUGCACAAGGAACUUGAGUGUUUUUGUUAAUACUGGAUAAGAAUCCAUAAAAGAAUCUUUCUUAGUAAUCAUAAUAAACAUAAAGAUCAUCAGAGCUAAUAUUUACUGAUAUUUAAUUAAUUUAUUUACUCUGAGCUAUGGCACUCUGCUAACACUUUACAUUUUCUCCUUUAAUUUUUACAACAACCCUGUAGAGUAGGUGAUAUAAUCCUAUUUAUUUUACAAUGGAAAAAUUGUGGUUUGGAUAAAAUAACUGUCUGAAGCAGCAUGUGAUAUGAGUUCCUAACCACUAUUUAGAGGUUAGGAGAAGCUUUUCAUAUGGGGUAAAUGUCUAAGUUGAGAUCUAAAACAAGAUUUAGUUGAAUGAGAAAACAAAAAGAAAACAAAACUAUGUGGCAAAAGCCCUCAAAUACAAGAGGAACUGCACACGUGAAGAAUGGAAACCCUAUCUACAUCCUGCGGUUACAAAGGAGAUGAGAGGAUAUACUGAAGCAGUAAAAACAAGUCACGUCAAGCUGGUUGUUCUAAGACACAUGAAGGAGCUUAGACAUUAUCCUGAAGGCCACAAGGAGCCACUGAAAUUCUUAUGCUAAAGAGCAAACGAUUGUAAUUUACAUUUAAUUUAUGUUUCAGGUUGCAUCAUAAAGAAAGGAUUGGAAAAGAGAAAAAAGAAGACAAGAAACUCAAACUUAUUUAAAAGGCAAUAGCCUAGCUAUCAGGUGAAAUUGGUAGGAUUCUAGAGAUUUUAGGAUUGUAGAAUCUGUAGGAACUGAUGGUUUAUUUGUUGUAUGGUAUAGGACAGGAGAGGUUAAGUCCUGUGUUGAGGAUUCAGUCGUGAACCUCAGUGAAGACAUCAGUGCCAUUUACUGAGCUACAGAACGUGGGAGCCAGAGCAGAGACAAAGAUUAGCAUAGAAAGCCAUUUUUGUAGAAGAUGAGUUUGAACUUCCAUUGAAAUAUCCUGAAGGAGAAAUAUAAUAGUUGGGUGUAUAAAUCUGCCGUUUAAGAGAGAGAUAAAGGUUGCAGUUUAAGAGAGAUAUAGGCUGAAGUGUUCAUUUUGGGAGCCAUCAGUAAAUAAAAGGACUUGAAAUUGGAGUAGCGGGAAUCAGAUCACAUGGACUGAGAUUAUUCCAUGAGAGGAAACGCCUGAGAACAAAAUGGAAGAGACCAGCAGCCCCAAAGAUGGAACACUGAAGCAUCAGAGAAGCCAAGGGAAGAAAAUGUUUCAAGGAAGAUGAUAAUAAGAAACUAAGUAUGAUACUGACAUGAGUAUCUAUUAAUGAUAUUAGUAAGAGCAAUUUCAGCAGAACUGAAGGGAUAAUUCAGAGUGCAGUGGGUUCUAGAAAGAAUGAGGCAUAGAAAGUCUGGUUGAGGAAUUUUUGUGGCCCUAAGACCCUAAAGAAUAAAGGUGCCACCACCAAAAUACCUUGCAACUCUGGCUUGCUGGAGACUGUUGUUAUUAUCUUGUUUAUCAGGUUGCUUAUUUGUCUGAAAUUUCAAUAGGUUUUGGGGGAACAGGUGGUGUCUGGUUACAUGAAUAAGUUCUUCAGUGAUGAAAUCUGAGAUUCUGUUGCACCCAUCACCUGAGCAGUGUACACAUUACCCAUUGUGUACUCUUUUACCCUCUCCUCCCUCCCACCCUUUGAGUCCCCAAAUUUCAUUGUAUCAUUUUAUCCCUUUGCGUCCUCAUAGCUUAGCUUCCAUUUAUGAGUGAGAACAUACGACGUUUGGUUUUCCAUUCUUGAGUUACUUCACUUCGAAUAAUGGUCUCCACCUCCAUCCAGGUUGCUGUGAAUGUCAUUAAUUCAUUCCUUUUUAUGGCUGAGUAGUAUUCUAUGGUACAUAUAUACCACAUUUUCUUUAUCUGCUUGUUGAUUAAUGGGCAUUUACUUUUCAAGGCCGGCUAGGUGCCUGGAACUUCCCUUGAAGGGACUCAAGAUUUUUAAAAAAUUGCCAUGUUUCAGCAGCCCAGAAGAAGCUAAGAGGGGUCCCUACUCCGUCUGAAGCUUUUAUUUUAUUUUUGUAAUUUUUUGAAUUCUUGCCUUGGCACCUUAAACAUUUAUUUUGGCAUUCAGAUAAAGAGGGCCAGAGUACAAUUGCAAAUAAUGACCUAAAAAACAUGGCUAUCAGGAGGGGAGAAAUAGUGAGCAGAGCAGAAGGUGCUGCCAAAGAAGAGGGUUUUUUGUGUUUUUUGUUAAUUUUUGUGAUAGGAGAGAAGUGAACACGCUUAGAUUUCAUAAAAGGUUGUGAUAUAUAAAAAGAAAUUACAAACAAAGAGGAGAGAGAAAAAAAUGAUAAACCCAGCAAGUAUCUAAACAUGGAAGAAGGAAUUGGACACAGAAAACAACUGGUUGGAUUACUCUUGGGCAAGAGACAAGUUAUUUUCUUUAUUUGAACAGAAAGAAAUGAGGAAAUCAUAGAGGAGAGUGGAGGUUUGGGGAUUUUAAAGUUUAGUGAUUUCUUAUCAUAUGGCAUUUAUUUUACCUACAUGAUAGGAGGCUGCUGAAAGUAAAAAGAAGAGAUGGAGUAGAAUGCUUAAGAAUUGUUCAGGAAAAACUACAAUAGUUGUGAAGAAUGGCUGAAGUUACUGACUAGGAGAACACAGAGUAUUACAGGUGGCUGUGAGGGCUCAACUGUAUGGAAGAAUAUGGUUACAUGGUGUGUAUUUGUCAGGGCUCUCCAGAAAAAUAGAACCAAUAGGAGAGAGACAGAUUUUAAGGAGUUGACUGAAGCAAUUACAGAGACUUGCAAGUCCAAAAUCUGCAGAGCCAAUGUCCAGUUUGAAUCCAAGGACUGGAAGCUGCUGUGGAACCAAGAAGAGCUGAUGCCCCAGUGUAGGCCGUUUUAGGGCAAGAGGAUCUCCCUCUUACUUGGAGGAGGGUCAGCCUUUUGCUCUCCUGUGGUCUUCAGCUCCUUGAAUGAGGCCCACUCACAUUAUGAAGGGUACUCUGUUUUACUCAGUCUACUGAUUUAAAUGUUAAUCUCAGCAGGGCACGGUGGCUCAUACUUGUAUUCCCAGCACUUUGAGAGGCUGAGGCAGGAGGAUCGCUUGAGCCUAGGGGUUUCAGAUCAGCCUGGGCAACAUAUUGAGACCCCAUCUGUACUGAAAAUAAAUAUUAAAAAAAAUUAGCCAGGUGUGGAUGGCUUAUCCCUGUCAUCCCUUCUACUUGGGAGGCUGAGGCGGGAGGAUCACUUAAGUCCUAAAAGUUGAUACUUCAGUGAGCUGAGAUUGCACCACUGCACUGCAGACUGGGUGACAGAGCAAGACCCUGACUCAAAUUAAUAAAUAAAUAAAUGUUAAUCUCAUGCAAAAACUCCCUCAUGGAAACACCUAGAAUAAUGUUUUAUCAAAUAUAUAACUCAUGACCGAGUCAAGUUGACACAUAAAAUUAACCAUCAUAAGGUGGUACAAAUAUUUCCUUUCUGGAAAUGUUUUGGAAUGUGAUAUGUAAAUGUAUGUAAAAACUGUCAUAAUUUUCUAUCCCAUUAUGUGUUCACUUAUUGUUGUUCUGCUAAAUGAAAACAGAUGAACUCAAUCAUAGGGCAUCUCAUUUAUUUGAAAAUCUUGCUUGUCUGCUUUUAAUAAUUCAGGAAUUUCAUAUGGUUCAUCAUCCUUUCAUUAUCACUGACACUCUUCUGCGGUUCCUCUUUUAGAUCUAAGCAUGAUUCUCAAGAGAGAAGCUGAAGGAAAAAGUAACUGAGUUGGUGUACGUUAACUUAUUUUUGUGAAAACCAAAAGCUGGCAGAUUGUCAAAUACUGCCUAUAUUUUGAUUAUUAAAGAAUUCUGAACAAAUCAGGACAUGAGGCUCUUUUAUCUUACAAACUUAAAGUAAACAUAAGUUUGAUUUUGCAGUCAACUUCUGUUUUCCAGAAUUGAUUUGAUCAUAUUUAUGUCAUGUCCAUAUUACUUUUAUGAGGGUACCUUAUAAGGGUCCUACUUCACUUUUCUAUAUGCUUUAAUGUAGAUUUGACUUUGCAAUUCUUUUUGAGGAAUUGAAUAUAUUGCAUCAAAAAAUGGUCUAUGUCCCCCAAUUUCAGUUAUUUGGGCUUAAAAUUUUUAUUACAAGUCAUAAAGAAAUUUGUUUUAUUUCCUCCCCCCAAAAAACAAUGAAAGGUAUGGAAAUGACCUGUGUUGGAUAAGCAUAGAUUCUUCAAGAAUGACAUUUGUAAUCUGCAACAGAAAAUAUCUAGUUCUAGAAAAUGAUAUUCUGUUAAGUAUAGUAAAUUCCAUCAACCAACCAUACAGAAUCAUUUCAAAUAGUCAUUCAGCAACAUCCCCAAAAUAACUGCUAGUACCAAUGGUAUUAAUUUCUUAUUCAUAAAGGCCAUGAAUAUACUUUUUAAGUAAAUCAAGUUAGUGUUGAGUUGCCUACUAGUUAAUUCCACAUAAAUAUAAAUAUAAGCACUUACUCUGUGCCAGGCACUCAGGAUGCAAGGUAAAUGUGCCUGAAAUUGUCCCUGCCCACACAUAAAAUAUAAAUUGCAGGACAUGCUUUGGCUCUUUUGCUGAGAGCCAUCUGUUUGGUUUUCUGGCAUAGUCUGGGCACUGGUUCUUCCUUCAUUCAUUGCUGCUGUUGCUCUGAUUGCUGUUUCCUCAAUUCCAAGGGAAAUGUUUCUUGAGAGCUAUGUUCAAAUAUUAAAAAUUGAGUGUAUUUUUUAAUAGGAAAAAUCAGUUUACUUUUAUUGAAGUGGAUCUGUGCUAUCACAUAUGAAGAUAUAGGUAGUAUACACACUAUGAGAAAAUGUCAGAGAAGCAUUUUUGUUGUUUUUUGUUUGUACUUUUUGACCUUGACAUAUGAGAUAGUUUGAUUUUUUAAAAAUCACCAUUGCUAUAUGUUAAAUAAUGCCUUUAAGGUUAAAUGAUAGAAGAGUUACAAGAACUUAAAGGCAAAACAAUUUAAGUUGCAAACAGCAAGACAGAAACAGAAGUAAAUCCUUCCCUACAGGGAAGUAAGCUGAUUAAAGAUGAUUACUAGAUGCAAAUAGGGAGCAAAAAUGCAUAGAUUAUAUAAGGUCAUAGCAGAAACUGUAAGCAGCAAGUCAGCAGUCCAGCCAAUAUGUAGUCCUUAGAGGUGCAGACCCAUGUUUAAAGAUCCACAUUUGAAUUAUUGGGUCCACCCCUCUAGUUAUUUAAGUUAUAAUAUCCUCGUGUCAUGCAUACAUAUUACGUGACAAAUCCAAACAAUAAAAACACAUUCAAAAUACACUAGGUGGAUUUUGUCGCAGACUUUUAGGCAUUUCAAAACUGAGAUACAGUUUAGGUUUUUACAUCUGGCAAUUCAGUCACUUGUCAAACUAUUCCAUAAGGUCCAUAAUCUCUAUACUAUAAAAAUCUUAAAAGUUAAGCAGAUCCUUAAUUUUUAAAAAUACAGUCUAAGCAUAAAUUUGUCACACUGAAUAGAACAAAGUAAAAACUACAGGGAAGGAAACAGAGGAAGUUAAUAUGAAAUGAAGUCUAAAUUGAAAGUCUUUUCUGUGAGUUUAAAAAUAGGCAUUUCCCUGCCAAUGAAAGAGAACACAUGUGAAUAUUCAUUUAGGACUAUACAGUCUAGUUUGCUUCCUCAAGUAAGUGAACUAACAGUUAUAAUUUGCACAGUUACCAACUUAAAAUUUUCACUUUCGUCUUACAUUUGAAAAUUUAAAGAAUUUCAAUUACCCAUACUAAUCAAGCUGUGGAGUAAUGUGUACAAAACUCAUAGUCUAAAAAGGAAGUUUCAGUGGUAGAUUUAGUUUGAAUGAGGUAUUUUUCCCAAGAAACUUUACUUCUGUUUUCCAAUAAAUAAUUAUUAGGAAGCAUUUAUGGUGAGCUCACAGCAGGGCUAGUCUGUAGCAGAGAAAUGUAUAUAUUAUGAUUCUCCCCAAAGCAUGCUUAUAAUCUGAUUGGAGAAAUGAUUUGCACAAAUAUGUAACAAAUUCCCACGGAUCAUCCUGCAUACUCAGCUAGCAUGCCACCUCCUCCAGUAAGCCUUCCUGGACCUACCAGACAGAGCCAACAUCUCCCUCUGUGGGUGGCCCAUCACAGGAUUUACACUCAUGUGCUGUAAUUACAGACUCAUUUGCUAUCCCUUUCCUGAUUGGACCCAGAGCUAUGUCCAACCAUUUAGCAUGAGGAAGUGUAAUGUACGAAUUUAGUAAAAUGGGUGAAGUAGAAAGUACAUCUAUUCUCCUUCCAACCUCAAACAGAGGACUAAGAAUUACAAUGCUCUCUGAAGCUAAUAUCUGGUGGUCAGAUACUCAGUAGUCCACAUUGUGUCUACUUCAUUAGAAGCAAUCGAACCUGAGACAUCUGCUUUAACUCGUACUCUCGGCAACACCCAUCGUAUGACCUCCUUCUUUCACUCCUUCAUACGUAAUCUAUUCCUGAGUACAAUUUAUUUCAUUCUAACGCUCUCUCCAAUAUUCAAUUUAUCCUAUCAGCUGUACCAUUCUAGUUCAAACUAUUAUCUCUUAUUUGGACAAAAGAAAUCUUUCCCCAGUUUUUCUUUUACCCCUUUCAUGCUUCUCUCUUCACUGAAACCAAUGUGAUAUUUUGAAGAUUCAGAUCAGAUCAGAGUAAUUCCCCUUCAGUGGCUUCUCACUGCUGGGAGAAGACCAUGAUCUUUGAUGUCACUUGUAACGUGAUACAUGAAUCUGCCCUGCUAGUCUCCCCAAUUGCAAAUCCUACCAAUUUCCUCUUUGCUUCAUGCACUGAGUUAUACAUGUACUCUCUCUGUUCUUGCACCAUGCUAAGCUUUAUAUCUAACUUAGGGCCUUUAUAUCUGCAUUUCUCUCUCCUUUUAGUCCUCUUCUUCUCUGCAUCACUACAACUGCCUAGCUCACUCCAUUAAUCCUUCAGACAACAGCCCAAUAUUCUUCCAGGAGAGCUUUCUCUGUCCUCCUGAUUAAGUCUGAUCUCUCUACUCAUUCAACACUCGUAUGUUUCCUUUAAUACCACUCACUGAAACCUGUAACCAUAUACUCAGAUAUGUGAUUAUCUCAUUAAUCUUUCUCACCCCUACUAUAUGAAAAGCACCACAGAGAUUAGGGCUGUUUUGAUAGACAUAUUCCUAAUGACUAUUGUGGGGCCUACCAUAUAGUAGGUCCUCCAACAAUCCUUCUUGAAAAAAUUAAUAAAUUUAACAUUCCAACAAAAACCAUAUUGAAGAAUGAUGAGUAUAACAAGAGGAAUAUGAGCUGUCAGUAAGAACAAGGACAAGGGGAAAGAAGUUACUAGAUCAUCAUGCUGAAAACUGAAAGUGGGGAGGGAGAGCUGGAUUUAGAGUUUAAAUAUAGGUUAGACAAUCUGGAAUUUAAUUCAGAAAUAGAGAGACCUUAGUAGAUUCAUUAAGAAUUCCCCAUGUGAUUUCCUUUCCCCCAAGCAUCUUUGAUUUAUGAAAGAUAAACAAAAUUGACAAAUCUUUAGCUGCGCUAUUUAAGAAAAAAAGACAUAAGAUUCAAAUAAAUAAAAUGAAACUCACGCCUGUAAUCUUAACAGUUUGAGAGGCUGAGGCAGGAGGAUUGCUUGAAGCCAGAAGUUGAAGACCAGUCUGGUCAACAUGGCAAAGAUCCAUUUCUCAAAUAAAUAAAAUUGUAAAUGAAAGAGGAGACAUUACAGCUGAUGCCACAGGAAUAAGAAAAAUCAUAAUAAACUACUAUGAACAAUUAUACACAAACAAAUUGAAUAACCUGGAAGAAACUGAUAAAUUCCUAGAAACAUAAAACAUACCAAGACUUUAUUAUGAAGUACUACAAAGUCUGAACAGAGCUGUAUAGAGAUGAUAUCAGUAAGCAAAAUCUCCCCCAAAAAAAAAAAGCCCAGGACUUGAUGGCUUCAUGGGUAACUUCUGUCCAACAUGUGAAGAAGAAUGAACAUCAAUCAUUUUCAAACUUUUCCAAAACUAUUGAAGAGGAAGAAACACUUUUAAAUUAAUUUUAUGAAGCGAGCAUAACCCAGAUAACAGCCAGACAAAGAUGCCACAAGAGGCCAGGCGCGGUGGCUCACGCCUGUAAUCCCAGCACUUUGGGAGGCCAAGGUGGGCGGAUCACGUGGUCAGGAGAUGGAGACCAUCCUGGCUAACACGGUGAAACCCCAUCUCCACUAAAAAUACAAAAAAAUUAGUCGGGCAUGGUGGUGGGGCCUUUAGUCCCAGCUACUCGGGAGGCUGAGGCAGGAGAAUGGCGUGAACCCAGGAGGUGGAGCUUGCAGUGAGCGAAGAUCUUGCCACUACACUCCAGCCUGGGCGACACAGCGAGACUCCGUCUCAAAAAAAACAAAAAACAAAAAACAAAACAAAACAAAACACAGGAGAACUACAGGCCAAUAUUAUUGAUAAAUAUAGAUGCAAAAAAUCCUCAAUAAAAUACAAGCAAACCAACACAUUACAAGGACCAUACACUAUGACCAAGUCAGAUUUAUCCCUGGAAUAAAAGGAUGGGUAAUCUAAAAAUCAAUCAAUGUGAUACACUAAUUGAUGAAAAAAAUUACUUCAACAGGCACAGUAAAAGCAUGUGAUAAAAGUAAACACCUUUUUGUAAAUAAAAACUCUGAUAAAAAUAGAAAUAGAAGCAAAGUAGCUCAACAUAAUAAAAAACAUGUGAAAAGCCUAGUUGUUAAAUCAAUGGUAAAAACUGAAAACUUUUCUCUAAGAUUAGGAACAAGGCAUGGAUGCCCUCUGUCCUCAAUUCUAUUUAACAUAGUACUGGAAGUGUUUGCAAAAUUAGUUAGGCAAGAAAAAAAAAGGCAUCCAAAUUGGAAAAGAAGGAAAUUGUUUCUGUUUCCAGAGGACAUGAUCUUAUAUAUAGAAAACCCUAAAGACUCUAUUAAAAAACUGUUAGAACUAAUAAUGAAUCAGUGAAGUUACAAAAAUCAAUUACAUUUCCAUAUACUAAAAACAUACUCUCUGAAAAAAAUUAGGAAAAUCUCACAUACAAUAGAAUGAAAUAAUAAAA